CAUAUAAAUAUCCAUCUCCACCACCACCAGUUUACAAGUACAAGUCACCUCCUCCACCAGUUUACAAGUAUAAAUCUCCUCCACCACCAGUUUACAAGUACAAAUCACCUCCUCCACCGGUGUACAAGUAUAAAUCCCCUCCUCCACCAGUGUACAAGUACAAGUCUCCUCCACCACCACCUAAGAAGCCAUAUAAAUACCCAUCUCCACCACCGCCAGUUUACAAGUACAAAUCACCUCCACCACCGGUGUACAAGUACAAAUCUCCUCCACCACCAGUUUACAAGUAUAAAUCCCCUCCUCCACCAGUGUACAAGUACAAGUCUCCUCCACCACCACCAAAAAAGCCAUAUAAAUACCCAUCUCCCCCACCACCAGUUUACAAGUACAAAUCACCUCCUCCUCCAGUUUACAAGUAUAAAUCUCCUCCACCACCAGUUUACAAGUAUAAGUCACCUCCUCCCCCAGUUUACAAGUACAAAUCUCCACCACCACCACCCAAGAAACCAUACAAGUAUCCAUCACCACCACCACCAGUUUACAAGUAUAAGUCUCCCCCUCCACCUGUCUACUCACCACCACCAGUUUACAAGUAUAAGUCUCCUCCUCCACCUGUCUAUUCACCACCUCCACCAUAUAAGUACAAAUCUCCACCACCUCCUCCUUAUAAGUACCCAUCACCACCACCACCAGUUUACAAGUACAAGUCACCUCCUCCCCCAGUUUACAAGUACAAAUCUCCACCACCACCACCCAAGAAACCAUACAAGUAUCCAUCACCACCACCACCAGUUUACAAAUAUAAGUCCCCUCCUCCACCUGUAUACUCACCACCUCCACCAGUUUACAAGUAUAAGUCUCCUCCUCCACCCGUCAAUUCACCACCUCCACCAUAUAAGUACAAAUCUCCACCACCUCCUCCUUAUAAGUACCCAUCACCACCACCGCCAGUUUACAAGUACAAAUCACCUCCUCCUCCAGUUUACAAGUACAAAUCUCCACCACCACCACCCAAGAAACCAUACAAGUACCCAUCACCACCACCACCCGUUUACAAAUAUAAGUCCCCUCCUCCACCAGUUUACAAGUAUAAAUCUCCUCCUCCACCUGUUCACUCACCACCUCCACCACACUAUGUCUACUCUUCACCUCCUCCUCCGGUCUAUUCCCCUCCUCCACCACAUUACAUAUAUUCAUCACCUCCUCCUCCUUACCACUCUUAGAUAACGGUUUACCAUAGUAUCCCAUGGUAUGCUUCUUUUUUAGUACGACCAAUAUCUUUAUGAUUAAAAUGCUUCGAGAAAUACUAAUUUAUAUAUCAACAAAAUAUAUGUAUUUUAUCAACGAAACAAUUAAAUAAGAGAAUCAAAAUUAGUGAUUUGAAUAGUUUUACAUGCCAACACAUGCAAGUCGUUAUAUAGACCUCACAUUCAUUUUAUUCUUAUUAUUCUUAUAGUCUAAAUAGUACAAUUUUCUUGAAACGUCUAAAUUGACAUACAUCUUAUGGUACAGUUUACAAAAAUCAAUCUAAGCCUAUUUUAUUUCUAUUUAUAGUAUUAUAUGUAAAUAGAAAAAAUAUACAAACUAAAAGGAAAGUUGACAGUUAUGUUUCUUAUUAAUGCUUCUCACUCGUAUUGUUCUUUGAGUGCUUAAUUAAUGUGUUUAUGUGUUUGUAUAUACUUUUGUAGGGAUUAAGGAAUAUUGGAAAUAAAGAGAACAUAGUGCAAAGCAGGAAGAUGCAUUUAGCAAUAAGGGAGAAAAACAACGGAAGCAAAGUUUCCAUGCAUUUUGGUCUCAGAAAAAGUCACUUUGUUUUUCUUAUUUGUUUGUAUAUGAAUUAUUAUUCUCAUUAUUGAGUUUGGUUAUUGAAUUUAGACAGGUGUAAUACACUGUGUGUAAUAUCGUGAAUGCAUUUUGUUUUGGAACCUACUCUUUGCAAGGGGUUGGUUGGGAAAAUAAAAUUGAAUAUUUGUUCUACUAAUUCUUUGCAUAUUUAUUGUGAAAUUACAAUAUAAUCAAUGCUCAACUAAUUAUUUUUUUCAACAGAAAACUAAUGCAUUUCAUUAAAAAUUAAAGGACCAAUAUAAAGGAGAAUGUCAAAUUAUAAAGCUAAGAAUUUCUGAAAAAAAAAAUAAAGUUGAGAACUGACGCUGUAUAUGUUUAGCUUAGCAAAGGUGCAUUGUGCAUCCAUAUUAGUCUCUCUCCUACAAAACUCGACAUAAGAAUUAUUACAUAAUAACGAUAAAGUACUACAAUAUCUACUUAAAAUAGAAUCUACAUAUCAAUAGCUGUUAAUAAGUUUAAAGUCUCACCCUCACUCAAUAACUUAUUUAAGCAUUGAAUGUUCAAUCCAAUUGCUAUUAAUUUCGACAAGCCGGUCCUAAUUUACUCUCUCUCGGUUUUCUCUUCCAGUUUCUUCAUUGAGGAGUUAUUUUGGGUCAAUUAUUGACCUGAAAUCACUCCUCUUCAUCUUUUUAUGCCUAUUUCAAUCUAAAUAAGUGAUUUUCACAUAGAUUUAGGUUUUUUCUUUGUGGUUUUAUCAUCUAAGUGUGGUGGUUUGUUGUUCGUCGUCUUGUGCGGCGUUGUUCGAUUUCACGUUUCUUGCGGUGUUCAUUUAAUUCAUAUUGAAAGAUUGAUUAUUCAAUCGAAGAUUUGGGCGUCAACGUUGCAGAUCCGGAUGCUAUGGAUAUUCCGGUCACUUUAAUUUUAUCAUAUAUUUUUUGUUGUGAAAACCACACCAAUAAUAAACUUGAUGCGUGGAGCAAAUUAAUACCAAGUAAUCAAAUCAAGCGGGUAGCAAAUAAUUCAAACAAAAGUAAACGACAAGAGAUAAAAGGAAAGAAGGAGAACACAAGAAUUUGUUUACCCAGUUCGGUCUAAUGAUGACCUAGUCUAGGGGAGAUAGCAGCUCUCUGCUUCACUAUAAUGAUAUGAGUUUCUUUACAAAGAGAUAUUGAAUUACAAGAAUCAGUCUUCAAACCUAAUUCUACCCAAGUCCCAGCCUCUUCCCGUGACCAAGAGACUCAAUCCUAAUGGUGCUUUGUUCAACGUGAAUCAAAACAAUCCCAACCCUAGUGUUUGUUGCCAAGAGAAAUUCUCUAUAAACCCUAUUUUCUACACAGUGUUUUGUUUCUACACACUCUCAGUCUCUCAAAUAUUCAUAUGAUACAAAGCUUAUAUUUAUAGUGGAAAGCAUUCCUCAAAAAUUGGAAACAGGCCCACAAGCUGUUUUAUUUUUCUCAUCUUGCGAGAAAUCGGCCAUCAAGUUUGGAAAAUCGGCCACCGAUUUUUCACGAGACAAAAGUCUCCAAAACCAGGUCAAAAUCGACCACCGUGUGGUGUAACACCCCAUUCCCAAAUAUAAUUUAUUUAAAUGAAAUAAACACACAUCAGAGUAAUAAAUCCAAAUGGGCAUGUCACACUACAUUUUCAAAUUUCUGAAAUAGAAUAUAAAAAAUCUAUUUAUUAAACAUCCAAUGAAAUCAUCAUUUAAUAUGCAGCGGAAUAUUAUCAACGAAACGUCAACAACUGUUUAAACCUCCAAAAUAAUAUCUCAGCAUAAAAAGCCUCAACCAGAAUAAUUCAUCAACCAUAGGGCUACAACAACAUUAACCAAAAUUUGAUACAUAGAAUGAAAGAAAACAAUAAAAUCCCAUCCCACGUAUCAGAGCCCUAGACACUUUGAGCCACCACCUACUACUCAGGAUCACCUGCAAGUUACCCAUAGGAAGGGCAACAUUUCCAAGCAGAAGGGGUGAGAUUCUCAAUCAAUAAAAAUAAAAUAUAAUAACAUCAAUUGAAAAUCUAGCACCUUACAACAUCAAUGAUUAUUCAAUAAGCAUAGGUAUUUCAUAAUCGACAACAAUCAUUCAAAUAUAGAAUUCAAUCAACAAUGCAACUCAUGAUAUGACAUGACACCCCCCUUUAAUACUCCUCAAUAAAUGCAACUAUGCAUGUGGUACCAUAAUUCAGGGCCAUGACCCACACCACUGUCGAAUGGUUAAAGCAUUCUCAGCAGGACCUAAGUCCUCACCGCUCCACACCGCUUUGAACAACUAGUGUUCCACCGCUUUGAACGACAAGGCGUUCCAGAGCCGAAGCUCUCCCACUUUGAUGUUUAUGCAACUACCCCACCUGUGUAUAUCUACAUACAACUCGACCACUACAUAUGUAUCAUAUGACUUACUACUCCACAACUCAAACAAUCCAGACUUACACAAUUAUUUAUAAUUAUGCACAUACAUCAAUCAUCUCCGACAUUCACUAACACCAAUCAAUCCAAUCACUGGCUAGUUUAAAUAGGAUUUGGUCACCUACACCAGGGUUAUAUUAGUUAAAGAGGAAGUUAAAGAACGCUCAAGAAGUCCCCUCAUGCACUAAGCAACAGUUCAGAAAAGGCUGAUUAAGGUUCACUUCGCUUAAGCGACGGCUAGUUCGCUUAAGCGACCAGCUUACAGUAGGUUCUGGGUUCAGUUCGCUUACGGGUCGCUCACGGUUCGCUUGAGCGAACUUUGGACAGAAUGAAAAUGGUUUUUCGCUCACAGGGUCGCUUACCAUUCGCUUAAGCGAAAUCUUGGCAGAACCAAACUUAAUUUUCGCUUACCAGUUCGCUCACGGUUCGCUUAAGCGAACGGGUAAAAUCGCAUUCUGGGCAGCUUGCUUGAAUGCUCGCUUAAGCGACGGAUGCUUCGCUUAAGCGACCACUCAUCUGGGCAGUGCAAAACCUACGGUUUCAGACCUCUUCUCACUCCAAAAACCCCAUUUUAAUCCCCUGAUCACCCAAAAUGUUUUCCAACAGAUGUUUACAGGUCCUAUAUACAACUAGGCAUUACAAAGAAACACAAUUCAGCCAUCAACAACAACAAUUAUAGAAUCAUUCCACCAUCACACAAUAUUUCAUCAAUUCAUACAAUUCAUCCAAAAUUCAAUCAAUUCAUGGAUUACAGCAACAACAUGGAUUAAGAUUUCGUUCUUAACAUUAAAUUCCAAGAAACUAACAUCAUCUUUACUCAUUCCAUCAGAAUCAUCAUCAAACCCUAACUUUCAUCUUAUUUUCCAAAACUAUUCAAUUAGGUCAAUUUCAGAAAUUAUAGAUUAUGAUUAUUGAGAGAUAGUCUCACCCUUACCUUAGUUUUGCAGAAAAUUAGACAGCAAGGAUCGAUUUCUAGGCUCUCCUCUCUAGCUCUUGCUCUUCUUCUCCCUUUUCCCAAAACUUGUCUGUUGUACGUGAAACUGUUUUCUGACUAUUCCUUUUCCUAACUCCCCAAAACUAUAACUCCCCCUAUUACAUUAAACUCCAUUAAUUUUUAUUAAAUUCUAAUUAACUCCCUAAUUUCUAAAAUAAUAUUAAUUUCCAGUUAUUUUAAUUAUUAUUAUAUUAAACUAUAUAAUAAAAUGCACACACCACAUAAAUCACCAAAAAUCAUAUAAAAUCACAUUUGAGACUCCACAUAAUUCAAAAUAAAAUAAAAUAAUACUAGGGCGUUACAUGUGGUACAAAUUGGACACCGAAUUUGACAGACAGGAUGCACAUUUUUGAGUCACUUUUCAACAUUUUUGUAGGCAUUAUGUCGUUAUAUGCUAUUAAUUAACUUUGAUGUUGUGAGUUUAUUAGCAGAUUCAUCCUUUAAGUUUUUAGCGGUGUUGAAUGAUGUAAUCUCGAUUUGAAUGAAUGAAUAUCAUUUUAUUUUUGUAAAAAAAAAAAAAAAAAAAACUAUAUACAUCAUUACUGUAAUUUUUUUUACAACAUGUAUCAAUCAUUUUGUUACAUUUUGUAUUAGUUACUAAAGUAUAUCUACAAAUAGUCUAUGUCGUUAAUUGUGAUCGAAUGCACACAGAUUUUUACAUUAAAAUUUUGCAAACCAUCAAAGUUAAAAAAACAUGCAUAGAACAAACCUUGGGAUAUGUAUUCGAGAUGACGAAAACACUUUUUGUGUUGGAUAAAACUUUGUCCAUCACUGCAAUGUAUAAGCAUACGGGAGAAGUUUUGGGUUUUUUCCAAUCGUUACACUAAUUAAGUGAUAUGUAAUUUGACAAUGUUGACUUUACAUUGUACUCAAAGAUUAUUACAAAUGGUUUCCAUCAUCAUCGUGUUCAUGUUACAUAAUUUGGUCAAGUGAUUUCAGCUUACAGGGGCCUCUUUAAUACUUAUUUCACAAACUCUUAGGACGAGUUUAACAGACGACAAACCAAUGAGGUAGUUCACAUCCUUGUUGGGUUGUCAAAUUAUCAACUAAUCUCACUAUUUAUUCGCAUGUAAUUCGUUGUAUAAGCACUCUUAUUAUUAAUUAAACUAGCGAGUUAACCCGUGCAAUGUAUGAGCGACAUAUGCUACUAUUUUUUAAUCUCCAAAAUUAUAUUCUUUUUUUUGUUUUUUUAUAUAUCACUAGCGAAAAGACAAGCACUCUCGUGCCCGUCUUUCCGCUCUUUUUAUUGCGUUAAUGUUUGAAAAUUAUGAACAAUAUUUUUUUAUGAAAUUUUGAUUUUGAUUAAAACUAUAUAUAUAUAUAUAUAUAUAUAUGUUUGUUGCUUUAAAAUUAUAACAAAUCAAACUAAUCAUGAUUAUCUAUUUCAUUGAAACCAACAAUAUAACAAAAAAAAUAUAAUCUAAACUCUUAUUUUUUUAAUGACACCAACAACGAUCUUUAUUAUAGAAAAAGUUAUUUGAGGGUAUAAUUGAAAUAGUAAAAAAGUAAGUAUAUAAAAAUACUCAUCUAGUUUGUUAGACAUUUUAAAAGAUAAAAGAAAAAAAUUAGACAUAUAUAUAUAUAUAUAUAUAUAUAUAUAUAUAUAUAUAUAUAUAUCGUGUUUCUUACACUUUUAUUUUAAUACAUGAAUUUGCUUUAAUCUAUUUGUUUUGUGUUAUUUGUAUUGAAAGUUAAGGGUAAUUUUGGAAAGAGAAAAAUUCAGCCUAAAAGAGUCUAAAUAUGCUAUUUUCUUUAUAUAUAGUAUAAAUUAACUAACAUUUUAUAAGUUAUAGCCGGCCCUAGUUUUCUAGUGAGAGAAACUCCAACUUCUCUCUAGACUUUCUUUCUCCUUCGUUCAUCGAGGAGGGGUGGUUUUAGGUCAUUUUUUGACCUAGAAUCACCCCUCUACAUCUUUUUUCCCCUUUUCUUUCAAUCUAAAUAAGUGGUUUUCACAUCUAUCAAGUUUUUCGUUUUGUGUUUUUUGUGAUUUCGUCGUCUAAGUGCGGCGUUUGAUUUCGCGUCUUGUCGCGGUGUUUGUUCAGUUCCUAUUGAAAGAUCUACAUCAAUCAAUUACAAAUUCAAGCAAUGAUUUGGAUGUCAACGUUGCAGAUCCGGAAGCAUGGGUAUUUCGGUGAUUUAGGUUUGAUCAUAUUAUUUGUAGGCAUUUUGCUGUUGUAUGCUAUUAACUUGGGUGCUGUGAGUUUGCUCGCAUAUUCACCCUUUACAUUUUUAGCGAUGUUUGUAUCUGAUGUACUCUAUCGAUUUGAAUGAAUGAAUAUCGUUUUGUUUUUGUAAAAUAAAAAGUGUUUUUUUUUUUUUUUUAUAUUUUUUAUUAGUGACAAAUAUUUGACCCAUACAUUUUUUAUGUAUUAAUGAUAAAUAUUUGUUCUAGUUUUCUAAAUUUAUAAUGACAAAUAUAUCUUAUGUGUUUAUCAUUGACAAAUAUUUGACACAUUUUUUUAUAUAUUUAUCAGUGGUAAAAACCUCAUAAAGAACCUAUGUUAAAUACUUGUUCCGUACUUUUUUAAUUGAUCAAUUACAAAUAUUAGUCCCAUGCUUUUUAAUAUUUUUUGUUCAAUUUUUUAAAAUAUUUAUCAAUUAAUUUAGGGUUAACAGGCCUUUACCCCCUACAAUGAUAGGCGAAUACUUGACCCUAGAGCUCUAAAAUGUGUUUUUGUUGGCUAUUCCUCCACUUAAAAAGGAUAGAAAUGUUACCAUCCUUCGUACAAACAAUUCUGUGUCUAGAGAUGUUACAUUUCAUGAAGAGGAAGCUUUUUUCAAACAACCUUAUCUUCAGGGAGAGAAUUUAAGAGAAGAUAAGGAAAUAAAUCAUGAAAUCCUUGCUCUUCCUAUCCUUGAGUUUGCUUGUAUCCUAAGGUUGACAUAACCUUAGAGAACCUUUCAAACCAUGCUCAGGGUGAUUGUUUCAAUCCAUAUAAUGCCUUUUUCAACCUGCAUAUAGAAUUGGCAGCAAGAUUUUUACAAUAUUCUGGCGGUACCUCCAUAUAGAUUUCCUCCUCUAGUUCCCCAUGCAGGAAAGCAUUUUUCACAUCAAAUUGCUGCAAUUCCCAACCAUAAAAGGAAUGGAAAUGCAAUAAUUGAAGCUUAUACUGAUGAUGACCAUGCGGGGUCAAUUACAGACAAGAGGUCCACUACUUGAUAUUGUACCUUUGUUGGAGGAAAUUUAGUAACUUGGAGGAGCAAAAAACCGAAAGUGGUGGCUUGCUCUAGUGUUGAAGCUGAGUUUUGAGUAUAACAUAAGGUAUUUGUGAACUACUUUGGCUGCAAAUUAUUUUAGAAGAUUUGAAGAUAAAAUUGGAUGGACCUAUGAAGUUCUAUUGUGAUAAUAAGUCAGCAAUCAACAUAGCUCAUAAUCCCGUUCAACAUGAUCGAACAAAACACGUUGAGGUGGAUAGGAAUUUUAUCAAAUAUUUUUAUAUUUAUUAGUGACAAAUAUUUAUUUCACGUUUUCGGAUAUAUUAGUGACAAACAUUUGUCCUAUGUUUGUUAUGUAUCAGUUAUUAAUAAAUGUCUUGUGUAUAUUUAUCAUUGAUAAGUAUGUGUCCCGUGUUUUUAUUUUAUUUUAUUUUUUAUAUUCUUCGAUCUUAAAGCAACGAUGAUAGAUCAAGACCUAGAGUGAUAAUUGGUGCCAUUUAACAAAGAGUUUGCAAGAACAUUCCCAAGAUUUUUAUUUGGAUGCAUGAAAUAUGGAUUUAAGGUAUCAUUCUGGUAACCUUUGUGAUGAUGAGAAUCGUGUCCUCCAUUGACACUUCCAGCAAUACUAUCCAUAGACAUGAUGAAUCAACGAAAGGGAUUCACAGAGAAAAGAAAGAAGAGAUAUUUUUACAUUCUUAUGACAUAACUAACUACACACUAACUAUGAUUAAGACUAGAGAUGACUAUAGUUAGGAUGUUACAACUAACUGUUAACUGCCUCAAUAACUUGCAGAGCAACUUACUUAGUGUUCACUAUGUUUUGUUGUUGACAAAAUUCUUAUUUGAUGUUUUAAAAAUUACAAACAUAUUAAAUUUAUUUCAUCUUGUUAUCUACUAACUUGUUCUGUGAUAAUUAUUUCAUGAGAAUGAUCACGACAACAUUCUGGUAUCAUAAGACAAACAAAGCAGUUACGUCAAAAGACAAAUCAGCAAAAAGGCAAAAUUUAGCUUUACAAGAAUAUUUAACUUUUGAAUUAUUAAUAUCAAGAUCAAGACAUUUAUAUGCCUUAUUAAAGGAAGACAUAUAAUGUUCUGUCGAAAAGAAAAAAAAAAGAUAUUUAAUCAUUGUUGAUUGGCAAAAUGAAGAAAGAAAUGUUUUGGGCCUUAAAGAAGAUUUUUUAUCCAUUAAGGAAAAGAAACAAGUCCAUUAAAGAAAAAUAUCUCAUAAAGGCUUUAAGCACAUGUGAAUUAAAUGUGACAUCAUCAAAAGGACAAAAGAAUGACAUAAGCAUGUCACUUCUGACAACUAUCAACAACUCAUUAUAGCCGGAUAACUCUCACGUGGAAGCAUAAAGUAAGCUGGACAUCCAUAACCUUCUGGAUGUGUAAAUUAACAUUCUAGUCGUGUUGAAGAAGAAAAGUGAAAUCAAUUGAAACUUUGGAUAUCUAUAAAAAUGUGCCCAACAACUCUAUUUUCAUAGUUUAUCACCAACACACUCCACAUCUAUAAAUACAUGAAGACAUGAAGAAUCAAAACAAGUGUUUUGAAAGCAAGCAUUCUCUCGAGUGAAAAUCAUCACUAUAUACAAACUCUUCACAAACAAACAAAUUCUAAGUUCUCUCAAUAUAUCAUUUGGAUGAUACUCAUUCAAAUUUGUUUAUUUAAAUCUCAAACAUGUGUUGAGAAUUUCAUUUGAUCCAAACCCACCUCAUCAUACAAAGUGUAUUGUGUUCUCAAGUCUAUUGCUAACAAUAUUUUGAGAAGAAUUGACAACCUUUCUUGUCCAGAAUUAAAAAAUUGUAGAAGCCUACUAAGGUUUAUUUUACAGGAUUUAACGAACUGAUCUGGUGUGAUCAAGAAUUUAUGGUGCUAGUCAUAAGUUUCUGUUAGCAUGAUACUAUAGUGGAUAAUCUUACACAAGGUGUGGGGACUGAAAGUAGCCGAGUUUGGUGAACUAUGAUAAAUCUCAGGUGUUAUUCUUCUUCCCUUUCUCUCUUUAAUACUUAAUAAUCUCUCCAAAAUAUUGUGGUCCUAAUUAAUCACAAUCAAAUUAAUCCAAUGUUUUCUGGUCCUAAAUUGUUUCAUUUAAUAUUAAUUAUACAGAUGCAUUCAGAACAUUCUGAUGCAAGAUAAAACAAUUACAUAAAUAACUAAAGACAAACUCACGUUUAAAAUCAAAUUAUAAUAUUAUUUUAUCAUUCUGUUUUAUUCUCCAGAACAUUCUGGUCCUUGUUAAAAUAGUUUUACAUUUCAGCUUAAUAUCAUUUUUCUCAUUCUUCUUAUAUAUUAAAUAUAUAAUCAUUUAAUCAAAAACAUUAUGGUCCUAGAUAAAAAAGAAUUGUUAUAUAUCAAACACUCUAAUCUAAUUAGACUAACAUUUACCAAGAACCUUCUCUACUAAACAAACUUAUUUAAGUUUCAGGAAUAAUUUUAAAAGGGUCACAAUUCACCUCCUCCUCUUGCGACGUUUCUUGCUACUUCAUGUUCAACAUAGGAUUUUAUAUCACAACCAAGCGACUUUUUCACACCCACACACCCAUUAGUUAUCUAGCUGUAAUAAAAGCAUGUAAUUGAAUGAAUUAAAUGAAAAAGGAGUUAGGGUUUCAAAUAACAACCAUAUAGAUUUAGGGGUGGCCCUGAGGGCAGGCAGGAGGGGCAGUAACCUAGGGCACCAUUUUUUAAGAGGCACCAAAAUUAUUAUUUUUACUUAGUAGUUAGUACUAUAUAGAUAUAUUUCUUUUUAAUUCGUUUUGAUUAAUUAUAUUAAAAAUAUAUUUUUAGAGAACUUUAAUUGUAAAUGAAUCUUUUGUAACAAAAACUGCAAGAAGGAAAAUAUUGAAAUAAAUAAAACAACACAAUUUUAUUGUUUCGUCCAUGACACCAAAAAUCUCAGAACCAGCCCUGAGAAAGACUAUAAUGUUGUGGGGCCGCAUCUUUUCUUUUCUUAACAUGAAUGUGAAGAAAGACGAGAGAUUAUAAAAUUUAGAUAUUUUCUACGCUGCCCUUCUCUCUCUUCAUGUUUGUCUUUUGCAAAAUAACAUCAUUGUAAAAAUUAAAUUUAGUAUCUUAUACUCCCUCCAUUCCUUUUCUUUUAAUGUUUUAGAACUUUAAAUAUAUUCCAAAACUUUUGAUGUUUUAGUGAAUUUAUUAUUGUUUUCUCAAGUUUACCCUUUUCUUCCGAAGCAUAAAGAAUAACCUUCAACCAAGACAUAAACUCAAAAAGAAAAUGUUUAAAUUAAUAAUAAUAUUGAUUUUUAUGUUUGUUUUUUAUUGAACACGUAGAAAAUUGGUUUUCAAACAAACAUAACGUUUGGGAGAGUAUGUAACACUUGAGUUCGAUUCUAGAAUUGUCUAUUUGGAAGGCAGCUCAAUCUUGUAUAAAAAUAUGUCUCACAUUCAACUUGAAAUUAAAUGUCAUAGCUUGGUUAAACUAGAGCCAUGGACAGAUAAAGAGACUAUGUGAUCAAAUGUGGCUAUUUUGAUACAAGUCAUUUUGCCUUUUAAAAAAGAAAAAAUGAAUAGAUUUAAAGCAAUUGGUUAACAAAUCCAAGUCACACCUCAUCAAGGAAGGAAAAGUCAGCAUUUACUUAGCAUUCACAUAUCAAGACUUUUUGUUUAUGUUAGGCAAUUGUCCUACCUCAGGAACAAAGAGAAGAGGCCAAAAAAUAAGGUUAAAUAAUGCAAAGUCUCUGAUUCGAAGUACUUUGACUCUUUUUGUGGAUUUUAGGGAUGUUUGGUGGGUAACCUACACCAUUCAAUCAUUCCCAUCAUAUAAUUAAAUGAAUCUCACUUAAUAAAAUCAAGAAUCAUAUCCUGUUCUUCAUCAAAAUCAUAUUCCAAACCAAAUGAGUGUAUGACAUACGCUACAUAAAUUAUAAUAGAGUCUUGUUAACCAUUGUUCGGACAAUGGUUAAGGAACUUAAAAGUAGUAUGUUUGCAUUGGUUUUAAUAACUUUUAACUUUUAAAAAGUUAAAUUUAUCAGUUUUUAUCAUUUUUCAAUACUAUAUUUAUAUUUUUAUCCUCCAAUACCUCAAGAGCAAUGAUUAGCAUUCUCAUCCGUAAUAAUAUGAUUUACAUUUAAGAAAUUCAAGCCACCUUAGUCAUUAUUAAUCAUAUCCUCGAUUUUGACUUGUAAUAGGAGCUAGAACAGCUAGCGCAACAAUAAAUUUUUUGACAAAUACAUGUCCAUCAACAAGGACAGACAAAAUAUUUAAUUUUGUAAGAAAAAAAACUCAUUCAUAAAAUUAUAAUCAUGUUAAUAUAUGCUCUACGAACACAUGUUAAGAAUUCAAUAAAUAAUAACCAUUUAGACACAUGCUCGGAAACCACAUCAAACCAUAAGACGAGGCAAUGAUAUGCAAAUCACAUUUGGAAUCCUUCAACAACCAUAUAGGUUUUUCACACAUUCGAAGACCGUUAACUCACCUCACAUAAAUACAGGUAAAUCACACUUAAAGGUUAGAGUGUUUACAGGUAGAUCAUCCUCCUCUGCGACUCAUCAAUUGUGUCAUCGAUUUGGUUUACCCUCAGCUUCUUUUUUAUUGAUUGAUUAUAACUUUUUAAUAUAUCAACGACUAUAAUUAUUUACAUUAUAUAUAUAUAUAUAUAUAUAUAUAUAUAUAUAUAUAUAUAUAUAUUUCAAAGUCUAAAUUAGUAAAUGUGCACUUUUUUAUUUGGACAAAAAAGUCAUUCACCUUUAUUAUUUAAAACUAUUACAUUGAGGGUUACUUUUGUAACUUUAUUAUAAAAUAAUGGCUAAAAUAUGGUUUUAGCCCAUGUAAAUAUGUCUCGUUUUAGUUUUAGUCCAUGUAAAAAAAAAUUGUUUUUGGUCCCUGCAAAAUUUUUUGUUUUUGAAAAUAGUUCCUCAGGGACUAUUUUCAAAAACAAAACAUUUUGCAGGGACCUUUUUAAAAAACAAAAAAUUUUGCAGGGACCAAAAACAAAAUUUUCUUUUUACAGGGACUAAAACCAAAACGAGACAUAUUUGCAGGGACUAAAACCAUAUUUUAACCUAAAAUAAUUGUUAACUUGCAUCACUUAGCUAAUUACUUAGAUCCACUUUUGUUAUGAACACAACAAUUACAAACAUUAAACAACUAAAAAAAAGACAAAAUAUUUGUGUUUUUAGUAAAGACAAAAUAUAGUUAACUUGCACCACUUAGCUAACUUAGACUCACUUUUAAUUUUUUUUUUAUUAAUUAAAUGCAAUUGAAAAAAAUAACCUUCUAUGAAAAACAAUUGGAAUAUGGGUAAUUGAAUUUUAUUUUUUUUUCAAAUAAAAAUGUGAGCACUACUAGAAAAAGCUAAGAUACCGACGAAAUUUAGAGACGGAAUUAGAGACGGAAAAAAUCAAUGAGAGAAGAAAAUAAGGUGUUUAAAAUUCAUUAUCUGGUAGAACAGGUCUCGUGCGGUUGUUUCAGCGGGGUUGAUUUAGUCCUCAAUCCGAAGCUUCAUUACACUUGAAGCUUCUUAGUCGUGUUGUGUAGAAAUUAAACCUUAAUAUUUUGACUCAAAGCUCGUCAUGUGUUACUAAUAUCUAUUUCUAUUAAGUAUAUAUUUGUAUAACUGUGCUACAAUCUAUCAAUGGAUAUAAUCUAUCCACCUGUUUAUUUUAUAAAGAUUAAUUAUAUGAUUGUUUUAAUACAAAUAAAGACCUUAAAAGUUAAAAAAGUUAUACUCCAUAUUUCAAUACUCAAAUUUCAUGGUUGUCCAAGUAAGUUGUAACAUAUACUCAAAUUUCAAAAUAACAAUUCGUUAUUCAACAAAUUUGAAAAUGAUGCAAUGAUAAUGACAUAUAAUCAUCUUAACAUCAAAAAUAUAGCACAUGUAGUUGGAAAAAAAAAAAAAAAAAAAACGCAUGUCAAAAGUGUGUACAUUUAAGAUCGAUAAGUCAUUGUAGGAGUAAACCUAGCCACUUGUUGUACAUACAAUAUGAUAUAGAUUUUGAGAAAUGUUAUUUGUACAACUAUUUUGUGACAACUUUCUCUUUCAUACUCACAUUAUAUUCUUACUCUUUCUCAUCCUUUUUCUCUCUCCAUUAUUUUUGACCAAUACCAAAAGAGAAAAAGAAGGUUGUCAUGAAAGUUGUAUCAAAUGGUUAGCUCGAAAGAUUUGUAUGUUACUUUACCACAUGAUUUUUUUUUCGAACAAGUCAAAAUGGAAUAUUAUAUCAUCAAAGAUGGUUCAUCUCGCAUAAGGUAUGCAAAAGAGAAACACCCACCAAAAAAUACAGCUAGAUGUCUGGUGCCAUAAAAGAGCACUCCUGAAGAAAAACAGAAUAAAACAAGGCUACAAUAAAACACCCAUACAAUGUAAAGGGUGCCGCCAACAGUCAUGGUAACUAAAAGCAUAAGUAGACUUGUUUGCCUUUAACCAAGAAAAAGACAUCAAUUUAAUAUUUUCCCAAUAAUUAAUUAUUACACCUCUCUUUAAAUAUAAUAUAUUCUUAAGUAGUUUUUUUGUCUUUGUUAUAUGACCAUUAAUUUGUAUAAUUUUAUCCCAAUUAAUUUAUAUUUUUAAUUAAAUUAAAGAUGCAUCUAGUAUAACUUCUGAAAAAUGGUUAAAGAGUUGAACAUCACGUCCUUAAGGAGCAUGAACAAACUUCUUAAAAAUGGUUAAAGAGUAUGAAUGUCAACAUGUAUCUAUCAACCAAUUUUUUAAUCAAACUAACCUGUUCCAUAUGAACAUAACCUCAGAUAUGGACCAGCUCCAUGCAUGAGUGUGAGUUAGCUUAAAACUUAUGUUAUAUCUAUCAUUCUUUCUAAUAAUUUUAUUGAAUGAAUUCUAUUUUGCCCGUGCAAAAAAAGAAGUAAAAAUGAACCUUCUAGGAGAGCAAGGAAAAAAUUACUGGUUAAUGGUGAUUUUGACUGGUUUCUUAACUAUGAAGUUAUGACCUUGCACCAACGUUAAGGACUAAGUAUUUGAUCUAUUAAAUUAGGGUUACGAAAGCUCUAGUUUUGCUAAAUUAUGAAAAUACUAGUUUUGUUUAUAAUAGUGAUCAGAGGUAUAUAUCAAGACAUGUAUAUUGAUUUUGCUAAAUACUACUAAAUUGGUGAAAUUGGAAUUCCUAAAGUUUAAUAUCCCUAUAUUAGACGAUCAUAUAUCAAGACAUGUAUAUUGAAUUUGCUAACUUUGAAAACAGCAUACAAACCAAUAUAUUAAAAUAAGAGCAGUGUCAACAUUUUCUGGCAAAUAAGCUAACUUAUUCUUUUGUUUACAUUUCAUUUCAAAUUCAUACCCAACUUGGGACGCAUUGGUCCAAAAAGCAUACUCACUAAUUCAAAGGCAAUCCAUUUUUUUAAUAAUAGCUGCAUGUAUCAUAAUACUUUUCACAUUUGUAAACUUAAUUUUCAAAGGCAACCAAGAUGAAUAGUUGAGGUAAAUUGGACAAAGAAAAAACCAUAUACAAAUACGUCUAUUCCUCUCCACCACCACCACCACCACCACCAUCUAAGCCAUACAAAUACGCUUCUCCACCACCACCAGUUUACAAAUACAAGUCCCCACCUCCACCCGUCUACUCACCACCACCACCACCAGUUUACAAGUACAAGUCCCCACCUCCACCACCAGUUUACAAGUACAAGUCCCCACCUCCACCCGUGUACUCACCACCACCACCACCAGUUUACAAGUACAAGUCCCCACGUCCACCCGUUUACUCACCACCUCCACCAGUUUACAACUACAAGUCCCCACCUCCACCCGUCUACUCACCACCUCCCCCGGUUUACACGUACAAGUCACCACCUCCUCCCGUCUAUUCACCACCUCCACCAGUUUACAAGUAUAAGUCUCCUCCUCCUCCUGCUUACUCACCACCUCCACCACAUUAUAUCUACUCUUCACCACCUCCUCCUCCUCCUCCUUACCACCACUAAAUGGUGGUUUACGAUAGUAUCCCACCGUAUACUUCUUCCUAUGUACAACCCACACAAAAUACAUAAUAUUUAAAAUAUUUUUAUAUAAUUCAAUUACAGUGCUUAUAAUAUUAAUCCGAUAAAUAUCUAGUUGGGCAUAGCUUCAAAUAAAAAAAUUUGGUAACACACAUAAAUGAUAAAAUUUACCAGAUAAAAAUUUAGUGACAUCAUAUCCUUUCUUUUUUAAAUUUUAUCAUUGAUGUGUGUGCGUUUAAAUAAAGUGUUGUUGCUUUUGGAAAUAGGUUUAAAUGCGAAACUACAUAUACCUUUUAAAGUUUUAAUUUAAAAAAUUGGAUUGUUAAAAUAUUAUCAUUGGCAAUUUGUAACAAAAAAAAUGAGACCUGAUGCAGAAGGUGAGUCAUGAGGUCAUCCACUAUACAAUAUGAUCACAUUAUGAUCUUAUUAAUUUUGUUUGAUUUAAAAUUUCAAGCGAUUAAUAAUCCUAAUAAACAGUUUUAGCUAGAUUAUAUAAUGUUUAAGGCAAAACCAUUUUCUUAAUGAAAGAUAUUGAUAUAUUUAUGUGUACAUAUACUUUGCAGGGUUUGAGGAAUAUAAUGGAAAUAAUAAAGAGAAGACAGUGCAAAGCAGGAAAGAUGCAUCAAUUCACAAUUAUAUAGCACAAUAAAAACAACAACCUAAGCAGUUUCCACGCACUCUGAUUCAGAAAAUGUCACUCCUUUUUUCUUCAUUUUAUUUAUGAGAUUAUUAUUCUCAUUAUUGUGCUUUGAUGUUUGAAUUUAUACUGUUGUAAAGCACUGUGUGUAAUAUUAUUCAAAUAAAUAGAGAACGAUUCUGAAAUUUGUCAUAUUGUAAAGAAUUGAAUAUAUACGGUGGCAGAGCCAAUAAUUUUAUCGAGUUUGAAUAAAAAAUUUACCGCAGAUUCACAUGCGACAUAAUAUAUAAAUAGUCAUAAAUCGAAAUAAAAUAGGCUCAUCAUUUUAUCGAUAAAAAUUACAAUUUAUUUGAAAUAAGAAAGAUGAAACAUAACCUGUCAAUAAUGUGCUAAAUAAAAUUAGAAGGUAAAUGCCCUUCCCGAGACCUCUUUGCGGUGAAUGUUCGAAUAAUAUCAACAACAUCAAGUGACUUGAAUUUCUCCCACUCGGUGUAACAUAUCAUCAAGUCAUUGAACCACACAAUGUUGAUCUUGUUGGUAACAAUUUUUUCUCACGGGCUUAUAAGAUUAUUUUACCAGCUUAUUGACAGGGCUUGAUAACUGAUGGACUUUCAACUUUUGUUGAUGUUUGUAAUAACUUUGGCGCACCCGCUAUUGUUGAAGAUCCACAAAUUAGAAGUUAAAAUCUGAUUCAUUAUGCUUUGAUGUAGAAAUGAUUGUAAGUUUUUUUGGGUAUGAAGUGAUUGUAUGUCUUUUUUUUUUGUCUAAUAAGCUAUUAUAAAUAGUGAUUCAAAUUUUGUUACCAUAAAUUAAAUGAGCAAUGGAGUAUAUGUAAAUUUUGAUUUAUGCGAGUAUUGAGUAUUUCCGUGAGUAUUGGUUUGGAUGAAUGGUAUAAUAGUUCAUAGUUAGGGAGAAUUAUUCUAAUUAAGCCACUUCAAGAAUUUAUUCUAAAAAUUGAUUAUUGUAAUCAAUUUUAAAUUCCAAUAAUAUUGAUUAUAAUAUUUUAUUAUAUUUAUUAAACUAAUUUUAGUAGUAAUUUUAUGAAUUAUUCCUUUUUAGAAUUUAUAGUAGAAUAGAAAAUAUAAAAUAAAAUAAAACAAUGAUAAGAUUUAGUGACAGCCGCAACCGCAGGUAUAGGUCCGUAAUGUUUUUAAAAUGGUCUACUUGGAAUUACAUACGUUUUGUCCGUAGGUAAAGGUGGAAAAUAUGCAGCGACAUCCAUUUGACAAUGACAGACGGAUUUAGCUACGGAAAUUUAUCCUAGAGUGACGGAUUUUUGUUGUCACUACAAGUUAAAUUUCUUGUAGCGAUACAAAGAAAGUAUCGGUUAAGCCCGGGCAUGUACCCAGACUAGAUGGGUUGUAAAACCGCUCCUGAAAAUAUACAGAAUACAUGCAUGAUUCAAAAACUAUCUAAUUUUUCUGGAAAAAAGGCUAAACUGCAGUUUUGACCUCCUAACUUUGUAAAUGUUGGGAUUUUGGCCCCCUUUUAAAAAAAUGAAAAUUUUCCUCCCCUAUGUUUUAGCCCCUUUGCAAAAGUGACCAUUUGGUCAAUUUUGACCGGGUCAACACGGAGGUGGCACUUCAUUAAUGGUGCGGGCACGCUACAUGUGUAUUUCGCAAAUUUUUUAAAUCAAAAUGCCACUUGUGUAUUUACUUGAAUUAAGAAAAAAAAAACUAUAUAAAGGUCUUGCACGUGUGAAGUCUUUCAGAUUCUAGGGUUAAAAAAUUUCCCAAAUAUUAACAUCAAUGAAAAACCACAAACCCCUAAGUUUCCAAAUCAAAUCUUCAUCCAUAAUCUCCUUCCCAAAUUGUUUCUGAAUUCGAAUAUCCUUCAUAAAUCGAUUGUCAGGUUUUUCUUCAUCUUUGUUUGUUGCGAAAAUGAAAUGGGUUGAAGAUGGAAAGGCGGCGACGAGUACAGGUUCGAAGAAGAAGAAGAAUAAAGAUGCGACAGGGAGUACAGGAACAAAGAAGAAGAAGAAGGAUGCGACAACGACUAAAGGUUCAGAGAAGACGAGAGAUUUGAAUAUGGAAGUUCAAUCAACUCAAGGAAACAUGUUCAAUGGAAAGAUUCCCGACAUGGAUGCUUCAUAGUAAGCGUUUUUUUGUUUUCAUAUGUCUAUUAACUAUAAAGUAAAGCUCAUGUUACAUUAUUUCUGAAUAAAAAAGGGUUGUUGGACCCAGAAACAGUUGAAGAUGAAUGGUUACAUGCCAUUUUUCGUUUUCCGAUCUGCAAACACACAAAACAAAUCGACCUGGAAGAAAGGAUGUAGAGGAAGAAUCGAUUUCAGAUAGGUAAUGUGAAGGAUGGUUGAAGAAGAUGAAGUUUCGAUUAUGGAGAAGAAUGGAUGAAGAAGAGCGAAUGAAGAAGAAAGGUUGAAGAAUUGGGGGUUUUUAAGGUUGGAGAUUUUUACCGUUGGAACUCUCACGUGCCAAUCCUUUAUCUAUUAUUUUUUUUAAUUCAAGUAAUACAUAGGUGGCAUUUUUAUUUUAAAAAAAAUGGCAAAAUACACAUGUGGCGUGCCAACACCAUUAAUGAAGUGCCACCUCCGUGUUGAUCUGGUCAAAAUUGACCAAAAUGUCACUUUUUCAAAGGGGCUAAAACACGGGGGGAGGGGGGGCAAAAUUUUGAUUUUUUUUUUAAUAGGGGGACAAAAUCGCAACAUUGACAAUGUUAGGGGGGACAAAAUCUGCUCCUUUCCGUCCCUUUGGUUUCGAUAAGAGUGGUUAAGUACCAUAUUGAGUGGUUUUAAUCGAGCGAUUAAGCCAUAUCUUUUAGGUGUAUAUACUCGAACAAUUACAUAUUGUGCAAUACGUGAUUGAAUAGUGAUAUGAGCUGUUUUAUUCUGGAGGCGACGCGGUUGUUAGUCUACAUUGCACAAACUUGGGUAGUGCCGCGAAACGUCUUAAAGAGAGCGACCUGGUCGUGACUCAACCUGAUAAUUUAUUCGGUACUAGUUUCUGAUUUGUAAUCUCAACAAAUAUCUCAUGAGCUAUAUUCUUCGGUAGUAGGCUUCAGUUUAUGUCCAACAAUAUAAAUAGGGGGAUUCGAAGAAUCCUAACCGUUGCUUACUUUUCUGUAACCAAAACAGGUAACUUGCUAUGUUGCAAACAGAUAAACAUUGCAAUCUCUAACCUUUAAACUCUUUUAUUUUAUAUCGUCACCUUAAAAUAAGUAACGUGAAUUGUUAGGACGAAAUGACAAUCCAUGUGGAUACGAUACUGUACUUAUCACUUUAUUACUUGGUAAACGAUUUGGUACACUUGCAUAAUCCGCACAUCAAUAAUCUUUGUUUGUUAGAAGUUUCUUGCUUGUAUGCUUGAGCAUUGAAAGUCUCUUGCUUGUGUGGCUGAGCAAUUGUAAUCUUGUAUGAUUAUAGUAAAAAAUCUCUUGUAAGUGACAAGGGUAUUAAACUACUUCGGGAUUGAUACCUUGAAACGCUUACCAGAAGGCCAUCGACAUAUAAAUAGACUUUACACAUCUUGUGCUCCAAUGUGUACCUUUAAUAUAAGUCAUUUUGCCUAUUAAAAAAGCAAAGAUGAAUUGAUUUAAAAGUUAACAAACCCAAGUCACACCUCAUCAAGGAACAAAAAGUCAGCAUUUACUUAGCAUUCAUAUAUCAAGACUUUUGGGUUAGGUUAGGCAAUUGUACCACAUCAGGAACAUUUAGAAGAGGCCAAAAAAUAAGGUUAAUUAAAUAAUGCAAAGGCUCUAAUUCGAACUACUUUGACUCUUUGUGUGGAUUUUAGGUAUGUUUGGUGGGUAACCUAUAUCAUUCAAUCAUUCCCAUCAUAUCAUAUAAUUAAAUAAAUCCCACUUAAUAAAAUUGAGAAUCAUGUUCAUGAUCAAGUUGGUGUAUGCUUAGAACAGUCUCAUGGUAUAAUUAAUUUGUCCCUACUGAACAAAAUCAUAAUUUAGAAACAUUCAUAAAUUAUAAAUAAUAAUACAAUCUUAGUCAUUUAUUAAUCAUAUCCUCAAUUUUGACCUGCAAUAGGAGCUAGCACACAGCUAGCGCAGAAAUAUAUUUUUUCCAAAUUCAUGUCUGUUACUUAUAGUUGUCAAAAAAAAAAAAAAUGUCUAUUACUUAUAGAGACAGAUCAAUUAUUUAUUUUUUACAAGGACAAAAUUCAUACUUAAAAUUAUAAGACUAAAAGUAUAUAAAAUACUUUAAUUAGAGUCUAUCAUUGACUAAGGUAAAGGUUAGAGUUUUUACAGGUAGAACAUUCCAUCAACUGUGGUUUACCCUCGACUUCUUUUUUAUUUAUUUAUUGAUUAUAACUUUUUAAUAUAAAAACAACCAUAUUUUUUAAAUACAAAUAACUAUAAUCAGUUUUCUUAUUUAUUUGCAGCUUAAUUCAGUUGGUUUGAAUAAUGCAUAAUAUAUGCAAGGUCCGUGGUUCAAAUCCCGGCCACCACAAAAAAAAAUGUAUUGUAAAAAAAAUGUAUAAUAUAUAUAUAUAGACACACACUAUAUCUUUUUCAACUUUUUUGGGCUGACUUUUUCUAUUUCUAAAAAUGUCUUCAAUUUUCAAUACAAAAACACAUGUAACAAAUAGAUAAGAACAAACGUAAAUAUUAAAAAAAUGUAACAAACUCGAUAUGAAUAUAUAUAUAUGUGUGUGUGUGUGUGUCUGGUUUUUUCCUUUAUCAUUUAAAAAGUGUAACAAAUAGAUGAGUAUAUUUAUACUUACUUUUUCAUUAUCUCAAUUAUAUCUUUAAACAAUUUUUUUUUCUAUAAUAAAGAUUGUUGUUUUUAUCAUUAAAAAAAAAUUAGAUUAUAUUUUUUUUGUUAUAUUGUUGGUGUCAUUGAAAUAGAUAAUCAUUGUUAGUUUGAUUUGUUAUAACUUAAAGCAACAAACAUUUAUGUUUUGUUAGAAUAAAAAUCAAAAUUUAUUAAAAAAAACAUGCGUUCAUAAAUUGCAAUAAAAAGAAGGGAAAUAGAUGAGUUUGAACAGACUUUUUCAUUACUUGUUUUAACCUUCAUUUAAAAUAUUUUAUUUACAAUUUUAUCAUUUAAUAAUAUUAUUUUAAAUUUUAAUCAAAAAAUUGAAUCCUAUUAAAAUAGGAAAUAUGCCACUACAAUAGAAACAAUAUUAUCAAUAUUAUAUAAGAAGAGGAUAGAUAUUUUGAGCUGAAUUUUUAUAAUUCCAAUUAUAUUCUUAAACAAAUUUUCUUAUAUUAAUGUUAUAUUGUUGGUGGUAUUAAAAAAUAGUAUUUAUGUUAUAUUUGUUAAAUUAUUAUUAUUAUUGAAAAAGAUAACAUGUUUUUCUGAGUUUAUACUUAUAAUUUUGUUACAUACUCUCGUUUCUUGUUUUUUUUUAUUAAAUAUAUAUAAACAACGGAAGUGACCCUUCCCGUAUAAGAUGUGUUAAGGAAGGUCAACUAGAGUUUGUACAAAGACAGCAAAGCCAAAAACAUAGGAGAACUGCCGCAAAACACGAAAGAUAUAAUAAAUAAGGGUUGUUUUUUCUUUCUUUAAAAAAAAAACAAAAAGAAAUAAGGGUAGUGUUAACUUGUGCUUUUAAGACACAAGUUAAGAAUUUAAAAAUGGAAUUAAAUCAUAAAUUAUGUCUUGAAAAGAUAAGAUUUUGAAUUUCUAGAAUAUUGAAUGCACAAUUUUCAACAAAAUAUUUCUAUUUUUAGUUUCUUAACUUGUGCCUUGAGUACAAAAAUUAACAUUUCCUUGCAAAUAAAUGCCCAAACAAAAUAAAUGUAAGUAUACUCUCGUUUCUAGUUUGUUUAAUAUCUAUUUCUAUCAAGUAUAUAUUUGUAUACUUUAUGCUACAAUCCAUCAAUGGAUAUCAUAUAUACAUUCACCUGUUUAUUUUAUAAAGAUUAUGGAACAAUUAUAAACACAAGGAAAAAGUAGAAAACAGCGAGAGAAAGAAAGAGAGAACACAAAAUAAUUUGUUUACCCAGUUCGGUUCAAAUUGACCUAGUCCGAGGCAGAGAGCAGCCCUCCGUUCCACUAUAAUGAUGAGUAACUUUACAAAAGAGAUAUCAAUGAGUUACAAGAAUAAGUCUCCAAACCUAAUUGUACCCAAAGUCUCAAUCUCUUCCCGUGAACAAGAGACUCAAUCCUAAUAGUGUUUCCCAAGGUGAAUCAACAACAACCCUAGUUUCUCCCGCUUAGAGAAAUCUCUCUAAAACCUUGGUUUGUUGUCUGUUUCUAAACCCUUGUUUUCAGCCCCUUCUAUCUCAAGGUUUACAUGUGAUACAAGGUUUAUAUUUAUAGUAAAAGUAAUCGCUAAAAAAUUGGAACAAAUCUCACGCUGAAAAGUACAUUUUAUUUUUAUGCAUCAGUGUAAAAUCGUACUACGAUUUUCCAAAUCGUAUUUCGAUUUUUCCAAAAUGGAAGUGCCAAAUCUGAUCCAAAAAUCGUACUACGAUUUUCCAAAUCAUGCUACAAAUUUGACAGCUUCCAGAUUUUAAUUUUGAGUCACUUUUACAACAAAGACCUUAAAGUUUGUGGUAUUAUAUACUUAAUAUAAUACUCCCAUGGCAACCUGAUUAGCUCCCUUGUUAUUAGAAAGUUACACGCAAUUUCAGGGUUUGGUUGUAUUAUAUCCUGUCCAGCUAAGUUGUAACAUACUCAAAUUUCCAAAUAAAAAUUCGUUAUUCAACAAAUUUGAAAAUGAUGCAGUGAUAAUGACAUAUAAUCAUCUAACACAUGUAAUCAUAUAACCAGUUUGGCUAGGUGAUACUUAUGGUAGUUGGACAAAAAAAAUAUCACAUGUCAAAUGUGUGUACAUUUAAGAUUGAUAAGUCAUUGAAUGAGAAACUUAGCCACUUGUUGUACAUACAAAUAUUUGUACAACUUUUAGAUAAUUUUCUAUUUUAUAUUCACAUUAUAUUUUUACUCUUUUUUUUUCUUUUUUUUCUUUAUUGUUUUUUAUCAAUAAAAAUAGAGAAAAUGAAAAUUAUCAAAAAUAUUGUAUCAAAUGGUUGUUCAAAUAUUAUUGCUCAAAAUAUACAAUAUGAUAUAAUUUUCCAGGAUCGAAAGAUCUAAAUAUGUUCCUUUCCCACAUAAUUAAUUAUUACACCUGUCUUUAAAUAUAAUAUCUUUUUUUUUUUUAAUUUUUAGUAGUUCUCAUGUCUUUGUUAUACGACCGUUAAUUUGUAUAAUUUUAUUUCCAUUAAUUUAUAUUUUUUUUAAUUAAAUCAAAGGUGCAUCUAAUAUACUUUUUUUUUAAGAGGCUAAAAUGAAAUACAUUACCAAAACAAGAUAUUUUUCCUAGCACAAGAUGUACAAAGGAAGAACAAUAGAGUCAAUAGAAUAUGUACAAUCAAGCAGAAAGAAAGCACCAGAGACCUAUAAGCAUGAAACAGAACUAAGUAGUGCCCAAAAUAACUAAUGGACUAAGCAACAAACCAUGAAAAUUAAACGAAAGAGAGACAAGUUUCGCCUUCAACCACGUAAAGGAAAGAACCUUAAUCUAAUAUAACUUCUUAAAAAUAGUUAAAGAGUUGAACAUUACCACCUUAAAGAGUAUGAACAAACUUUUUAAAUAUGGUUAAACAGGAUGAAUGUCACGUAUUUACAGUACAUAUAUCUUUGGUUUUUAUAUGUGUUUAGUCUCUGUAUAUGGGGUCAUUUAAAAAAUUAAUCAUUUAAAAUGGUCUCUACAUUCCUUCAUUAUGACAUUUUGCCCUCCCAAAAAUUAAUCAUUAAAAAUUUGGUCCCCCCUACUCAAUCACUGUCACGUCACUGGAUUAGCUGACGUGGUACAUUGACUCAGCAAAGUUUGAUGUGAAGUGACAAAAAUAGCCCUAACACUCUGUUUGGUAUGAGAGAAUUACAGCAGAGAGAGAUAUUGAAGAGAGAAAGAGAAGAGAAAUAUGGUAUUUCUCUUGUUUGGCAAAGGCAAGAAAGAGGGAGGAGAGAUAAGUUUUGCGUGGGAUCCACGUGUUUUUUGUUCGCCCCUAUAAACGAAGAAAGAAGAAAGAGGAGAGAAAUAUACAUUUACUCCCUUUGCCUUUUAUACCCUUCAAUUUAAGACACAACACACCUUUUUUUUUUCUCAUUACUUUGUUUUUAUUCUUAAUAGGCUUAUCUAAAAAUUAUUUCAAGGACAUUUGUACUUUAAAAAAAAAAAAAUUGAAGAAGCUAAACUAACCCCCUCAAAUUGGCACUAGAGAGAAUCGAACUUGAAACCUUGAGGAGGAGCACACUCCCAGGUCCCAAGCCAAUACCACUAGGCCAACCCAAGUGGGUUUGUACUUUUAAAAAUUAAUCACACUUCUCUCUCUUCUAUUUCUCUUAAUUUUAACCAAACAAUACCUUAAAUCUAUUCUAUUUUUCAUUUUUUUCUCUCUUCUCAUACUCUCUCUCACCUAUUUCUCUCUUCUCAAUUUCUUCUUUCAACCAAACACACCCUAAGUAAUUUCGCUGCCCUCUUAUGGAAGGAGGGGCAUUUACUUUACAAGUAAAUAAAGUAUCUUUUUUAAUUUAAAAUUUCCUCUUUAUGGUUUUCUUAACUAAUGUCCUGGGUAGGGCUAGACAAGGACCCGCGACCCGGCCCAACCCGAAAAAACCGAAGAAAAAAAACCGAGCUGAGUGGGUUAAAGCAGGUCCGCGGGUCAAACGUGUCAUAAAUGCGGGUUCACAAGGGUAUACAUGGGCAGAGGCGGGUAACGGACCUUCACCUGCGGGUACCCGAACCCGCCAGUAUUGGAUAAGUAAAAACGACGUCGUUUUGAAGAGUGGGGAGACCACUAACCCUAGAUCUAACCCAUUCAUUUCAUUUCUUCUAAAAAAUUCUCUCAUUCACCUCACACUCUUUCACCUUCCUCUUCAAACCCUAGUGCCGCCGCCGCAUCUAACCACCACCACCACACCAUCAAAUCCUCCUACCAACAUGAAUCACCACUUUCCAACUUGAUUCCCUUUGUUUUACGCCGUUCUCUGUCAAUCCACGCAGAAAAAUGGAGGCAGAUCCUGAAACUCUCUCUCACUCUCAGUAGCUAACACCACUGUAGAACCGUAAAUCGCCGUCGUUUUUGUUUCAUGAAUCACGUCUCUGCUCUGCAUAUGCUUCAGAUCUAAAGGUUAGAUAUUUUGUUUUUAAUCUUUGUAAUUUUUUAUUUUUAUUUAGGGUUUAUGAGUGUCUCACCACAUGCUUUUGUUUUUGUUUGAUGAUUCACAUCCAUGCUCCGCGUAUGCUUCAAAUCUGAAGGUUGGUUUUUGUUACAUUUUUCAUAUUUUGUGCUUUGAUUUUUUCAAUUCUUGCUUCUAACAUUUUUUUUUUGUUUCAAUCUCAUCUCUGCUGCUUAUGCAUUUGCUGAAGAUUUUUUUUUUGUUUCAAUCUCAUUUUCUCAGACCGGCUUAGGAAACUUCCAUAUCACUGAAUAUUUUUCCAGAUCCGAGAGGUAAUCUUCCUUCUUGACAUCUAGAUCUGAGAGGUAAUGAUUUAUCUUAAUAUAUUUAGUUUUGUAUUUGUUGAGUUUAUCUAUGUCUUUGAUGUAUAUUUUGUUGAGUUUAUGCAUGAUUAUUAAUGUCUAUAGCUUCUGACUUGAUUAUGUUUAUGCAUACUUUGUUGAUUCUUAUACUUCUUCCUUGGAGUUCAUUUUUUCUUUGUUUCUUUCUUAUCCUAAUGGUUUGUUGUUUAUCUAUUUAUUUUGUUUGUAGUAUUCUAAUGGUCCAUUAAUUAUCUUGUUUGUAUAGACACAUGAAAACUGAUACUGCUAGUGUGAAUCCUUUGGCUCAAAUUCCAAUUCUAGUGCAAGGCCAAGGACCUGAACAUGCUAAGGUAGUGCUAAAACUAAAGAAAAGAAAACCUGCUAGACCUCCUUCAAUGGUUUGGAGACAUUUUAUGAAGAAAAAAGACACUGCCUUUUGUAACUAUUGCUUCACUUCUUUUGUUUCAAAUGCUUCCAACCAUCGAACUAACAACAUGCUUAAACACAUGAUGAUUUGUCCAAAAACAUGAAGGUAGUUUUUUUAUUACUCUGAGUUAUGUUGAUUUAGUAAUUUUAUUGUAACUUUGUAUUUGAUUUAGUCUAUUUUAACUCUAUUUUGGUAGAUGUCUUUGAUGUUAGUUUGCUAGUGUUAUAUUUUGUGGCUUUGAUUUAUUAGUACUAAUGUAUAUUUUUUAUAUUGUUUUUCACAGGUUAACAAUAUUCUUACUUGCUAUGAUGGUAUCUCUUGAUCUAUUGUGAAUCAAGAUAUACCAAGGAGGUGUUAUUUUUUGUUAUUCAGAUCCAGUUUUAGUAUUAUUAUAUUCAAGACCACUAUAUUUAGUUUUUUAUUUAUUAAGGAUAUGUAAAUUGUUAAACUUAUUUUUAUUGGUUGUGUAAGUUAAAUUAAGGCUCGAUAUCAAAUGGGAAAAUGAGACAUCAUCAUCCCCCUUUAACAAGCUUCUUAAAGGAAAAAAUUUAACAAAAUUAUGACAAUAUGAUCUAAGUUAAAUAAACAUACAAAAUGGUUUAAUACAAGAGAAAAUGAAACACUACAAAAUUUGUUGGGGCAGAAAUUCUAAAUGGCACAUUAAAAAUGAACAUAAAAAAUGGUCCAUUACAGUGAAAUUAAAAAUAAAUCGCAACAAAAUUAAUUGGGCCAGAAAUGGUUGAAUGACCCAUUAAUUGGUCCAACCCGUUUGAACCCAACCGUUUAACCCGUAACCCGAUUCACCCGAACCCAACCAAUCCGACUCCAUUAUUUGGGUAGAAAUGGGUGUGUAUUCUACACCCGCAGGUUGGGCUGGAGUAGAGGUUUGGACCCGAACCCGCCCGAUGUCCACCCCUAGUCCCGGGGCACUGGUUAACAUAAACCUAAAACAAAAAUAGAAAAUAAUGACCUAAGUUUUCUAAUAAUUGAUAUUUUAUUAGCUUAAAACUUUUGUUAUAUCGAUCAUUCCUUUCCACUCUUUGUUCUUGGUUGUGUUUUAAUGAAAAAAAAGAAGUAAAAAUGAACCUUCUAUGAGAGCAAGGAAAAAAUUACUGGUUAAGCCUUAUGACCUUGCACCAACUCUAAGGACAUUAAUUAUGUUAUAUAGCAAGAUAUCCUCUCAUAAAUUGGUGAAAUUGGAAUUCCUAAAGUUUAGUUUCCCUAUAUUAGACGAUCAUAUAUCAAGACAUGGAUAUUAUUUUGCUAACUUUGAAAACAGCAUACAAACCAAAAUAGUACGUAUUAAAAUAAGAGCACCGUCAACAUUUUCUAGCUAAUAAGCUAACUUACUUUAUUCUUUUGUUUACAUUUCAUUUCAAAUUCAUGCCCAACUUGGGACGCAUUGGUCCAAAAAGCAUACUCAUUUAUUCAAUGGGAAAAACUUUUUUUAAUGGGUCUUGCUGACCAUUGCUCGAUGGCAAUGGUUAAGGAAGGCAAAAGUAGCAUGUUUGUAUUGAUUUCAACAACAUUUUGACUUUUAAAAAAUUAAAUUUAUCACUUUUCACCAUUUACCAAUGCUAUAUUUCUAUUUUUAUCCACUUAUCCAAUGCGCCAAACGCAAUGAUUAGCGUUCUCAUUUUUUAAUAAUAGCUGCAAUGUUACAUAAUCGUUUUCACAUCUGUAUACUUAGUUUGUCUUAAAAAGACAGUCACAUUGAAUAUUUAAUUAAAAUUUUAUUUUUAUUCAAUUAUACACUAUAAUUGAUAUUAAGCGCCAUUAAAAAAAUUAUUAAGUGGAUAACAAAUUAUUAUUCACUAUAAUUUUACUAUAAUUAUUAUUCUUCACUUUGAAUUACCAAGGUAAUUUAAUAAAAUUAAUAUUCUAUGUGACGUAUUUGUAAUUACUUCCUAAUUCACGUGAAAUGAUUUACUUUGCUAGUUAUUAGAAUUUUAAUUUAUUAUAAUAUUUUUCUUUUUGCUGUUGGAUAAUAGGUGAAUUAUAAAAUGUGUCAAAUCAUAGUACACCAACCAAGAUGAAUUGUUGAGGUAAAAUGGAUAAAGAAAAAACUAUAUAAAGGGUACUACUAUCUUUCAUAAGAGCAACAACAAAACACACUUUAGGAAAAUAUGAGGUUCCAAAUGGCCUCCAUUACUCUUACUAUUGCAUUCACGAUAAUCUCUCUUAGCCUGCCAUCCCAAAUUUCAGCAAACAAUUACGUCUAUUCAUCUCCACCACCACCAUCUAAGCCAUACAAAUACGCUUCCCCACCACCACCAGUUUACAAGUAUAAAUCACCACCCCCACCUGUCUACUCACCACCUCCACCUGUCUACUCACCACCACCACCAGUUUACAAGUACAAGUCACCCCCUCCACCUGUCUACUCACCACCUCCACCAGUUUACAAGUACAAGUCCCCACCUCCACCCGUCUACUCACCACCUCCCCCGGUUUAUAAGUACAAGUCACCACCUCCUCCCGUCUAUUCACCACCUCCACCAGUUUACAAGUAUAAGUCUCCUCCUCCUCCUGCAUACUCACCACCUCCACCACAUUAUAUCUACUCUUCACCACCUCCUCCUUACCACCACUAAAUGGUGGUUUACGAUAGUAUCCCACGGUAUACUUCUUAUUACAUACAACCCACACAAAAUACUUUUAUAUAAUUCAAUUACAGUGGUUAUAAUAUUAAUCUGAUAAAUAUCUAGUUAGACAUAGCUUCAAAUAAAAAAAUAUUUGGUAACACAUAUAAAUGAUAAAAUUUAGCAGAUAAAAAUUUAAUGAUAUCAUUUAAUAUCUUUUCUUCUUAAAAUUUUAUCAUUUAUGUGUGCACGCCCAAAUAAAGUGUCGUGGCUUUUGAAAAGUUUCUUAUAAACCUUGUGGAAAUAGGUUUAAAUGUGAAAUUACAUAUACUUUUUAAAGUUUUAAUUUAAAAAAUUCGAUUGUUCAAUCUUUUAAAAUAUUAUUAUUGGCAAUUUGAAACAAUAAAGUUGAGACCUGAUGCAGAAGGUGAGUGCAUGAGGUCAACCACUAUAGAUUAUGAUCAUAUUAUAGAACUUAGCUAGAAAAGAAAAAAUAUAGUUAUAUGCUUCUUAUUAAUUUUGUUUGAUUUAAAAUUUCAAGCGAUUAAUAAUCCUAAUAAACAGUUUUAGCUAGAUUGAAUAAUGUUUAAGGCAAAACCAUUUUCUUAAUGAAAGAUAUUGAUAUAUUUAUGUGUGCAUAUACUUUGCAGGGUUUGAGGAAUAUAAUUGAAAUAAAGAGAAGACAGUGCAAAGCAGGAAAGAUGUCACUCUGAUUCAGAAAAUGUCACUCUAUUAUUUUUCAUUUGUUUGUUUUAUGAGAUUAUAUUCUCAUUAUUGUGCUUGAUGUUUGAAUUUAUACUGUUGUAAAGCACUCUGUGUAAUAUUAUUCAAAUAAAUAGAGAACGAUUCUGAAAUUUGUCAUAUUGUAAAGAAUUGGAUAUACCUAAUAUUUGAAUGCAUUUUCGAUCCCUUAACUUUUAAAAAAUUGUGAUUUAUAGAAAUAUAGUCUUUUAACCCUUUAUUUUUAGUAAAAUAUGUUCUUUUGUCCCUCUAUCUUUAGGGAAAUAUGCUAUUUUGAUUUCUUAUUUUUACAAAAAGUAGUAAUUUUGCUUGCUGUUUUAGAACACGUGGUAUCUUCUCAACAGUUUUGCUGCAUUUUGUAAAUUAAAGGUAAAAUAAUUUUUUUUUUUAUUAGAGGAUCAAAAUCGCAACUUUUUAAAAGUUAAAUCAUCAAAAAUACAUUUAAGCCUAUACAUAAUACAUUAUAUGCAAACUUCAAAAACUAUCUAAUUUGAUGGCGGUAUAUGUCAAUCACUUUAUAUCCUAAUCAUCCUCUAUUUCAUGUUGGAUCUGUCUAACUUUUUGAUGAUAUGGAUAGUGGGUCCAAUCAAGGUGAUUCAAUAUCCAACGGAAACGUCUAAACACGUUUUGACUUCCAACAUAAGGCAUUGCCCCUAACUUCGGUUAACAAUAUUGGGUUUCAGUAAUAACAAAGAGACGGCUAGAGUUGUUUAAUAAUAUUUUAAUAGCAUUACGUUACAAAAGGUUAUUGGAGAAUGUAUAUAUAAAAUCUAAUAAACAACUAAAUUAGUAAUAUAAAUAUCCAAUAGUUUAAACUCAAUCCUUUAUUAUCUAAUUUCUUUUCUCAAAUUCACGACUCAUCAACAAGAAGAAUUAUGAGUUUGUCAAAUCAAAUAGGAGGACGAACGAAGCGGAAGCUGGUGGGCAUGUAACGUCUGAGGCUAACGAGGAUUGAGAGUGGUCGCUGGUGCACAAGUUAAGAGGAUGAGCUGCUCCUGACAUCUUCUAGUCAAACCGAAUCACAUUGGAAUGAGAGGAAUCCUGAGACCGUGCAGAUAUGAACUGCAUGAUUGAAGAAAGACUUAUAAAUUUUUUUGGCACUAUCUAUAUCAACAAGAUGCAUCUUCUUUUUUAUAAUUCAUUCCAUAAGAACUCCACAGUUAAGCAUGUUUGACAUGGAGCAAUUUUAGGAUGGAUGACCUUUUAGAAAGUUUUCCAGAAAACGUGUGAGUUUGGACAAAACACACUGAAAAGACUCAUGUUGGUUUUGGGGUCAGUCGGUCAGCAAUACUUAAAAUCGCCUCAAUAUUAUAAGAAACAUAAUAAAUAAUAUAAAGUUCUAACACUGCCCCUCAAAUGAAAGAUGGAAUGAUAUUGAAGUGAAAACUCGCGCUAUAUUGAGUGAAAUUUUAUAAACUUUCAGUCUUUAUUUCUGUCAAUGUUAGUUUUUUUGGUCAUCUAACUCAAAUUUGAAAAUUUUCCUGUUAUCUUGAACAGUUUCUAGUUCACUUUGUUAAGUUACUACAACUAAUAAAAAUACACUGAAUUUUCAAUCUAGAGACAUAAUUCAGUUUAUUUUGAUGAGUAGCAAAUUUUUAUUCUUUUUGAAAUCAUAAAAUCCUGAUCCUUCACUUUUACUCAAAUUAUAUAUGUCCGUUGUCUUAAGAUAGAUGGACAUUUAUAUGAAAGUCUUGGUUUGAUUCAAGUUGAGUAAAAUAUGGUCAAAUUUGGGGAUUAAAAAUACAUAGUAUUUAUAUUUUGCUUAUGUCAUAUAAGCUGCUAUGAUCUAUUUCCUCUCACUUUUAUAGGUCUUGGUGUUGAAUAAGAAACUAAGAUUUUAAAUUGUAGUUGAUUCGCGGAAUGAGCAAAGUGAUCCUAGUGAGCUAGUUUCAAAGGGUUGUGAACUACAAAGUUUGAUGGGCGAACCAGAGGUGAGGUCAAAGAAAGGAAUUGAAGAGGGUUUCAUGGAAGAAGCAAGUGAACAUUCGAUAGGCAAACAACAUUUCUCCUAGCCAAGUAAGGCGGUGUUAGUGACCCUUUGUGUUGUGAAUUCGAUGAAAAAUCACACCAAUAACAACUUGAUGUGUGGAGCAAGGGAUAAUUAAGCAACCAAAAUCAAAGCGUAUGAAAGUUAUAAAUACAAGCCAAAAGUAGAAAACAACGGCGAGAAGAACACAAAGAAGAAGAAGAACACAAAGAAACUUGUUGACCCAGUUCGGUCCAAUCUGACCUAGUCUGGGGGAGAGAGCAGCCCUCCAAUCCACUAUAUGAUGAGUUUCGUUACAAAGAGAAAUCAAUGGGUUACAAGAAUAAGUCUCCCGAUUAAUUCUACUCAAAGUCCCAAUCUCUUCCCGUAACCAAGAGACUCCAAUCCUAAUAGUGUUUCCCAAGGUGAAUCAACCCACAAACCCUAGUGUUUGCUCCUAAGAGACAAACUCUAUACAAACCCUAGUUUUGUUGUUGCUUUUCUAAACCCUUGUUUCAGCCCCCUCUAUCUCAAAGUUUGCUUUGAUACAAGGUCUAUAUUUAUAGUAAAAGUAUAACUCAUAAAUUUGGAACAAAUACCACACUGAAGAUUCGUUUUUUUUUUCUCCUUCAGUGAAAGAAUAUUUGCAUCAAAAAUAUAAUAUUCCCUUUCAAAAUAUAUUUGCAUCAAAUCGUUCUUCAUACGAUACAAAAAUAUAUUUAUUGUCCAUAAAUAUAUUUUCAGCACAAUAUAUAUUUGAAACAAAUCUUUUAUAUUUUUAGCAACAAUAUUCUCCAUCCAUCAAUUUUUGAGUCAUACUACAACACUUUGGAUGAGCUCGCUUUUCCCUCCACCUGAAGAAACUUAAGAUCGCUAGACGAGCAAAUUUUUCUAGGAAAAUAUGCACUUUUUUUACUUAUAUAUAAAUAGAUGUAAUACACAAUUCAGAGAUAUCUUACGCAUCUUAAACUUGUUGUUAGAGAGAACGGAGAGGAGAACAUAGAUUCAUCAUUGCAGAAUUUAUCAAUUCUUUUAUUUCAGGCUCUAGGUGCUUGUUUCAAACCAUAUAAGGCUUUGCUCAAUCUGAACACUCUAUCUUUCGUCCCUUUGAUUGUGAAACUAGGUGGUUGAGUGACAUACACAGUCUCUUCUAAUGUACCAUUCAGAAAUGCAAACUUUACUAGUUGCUAAUACUAUAACCAAUCUGAUAGUUUCAUGUCUUGCAUCUGGUGAGAAAACUUUAGUGUAAUCAAAACCUUCCUUCUAAAUAAACCUCUAGCCAAAAGCCUUGCUUCGUGAUUCACAAUCUUCCCUUCUUGAUUAAAUUUUAACUUGAAAACCAAUUUUAUAUCUAUUGCCUUUUUUCCAUCUCGAAGCUUUAUCAGUUCACAAGUCUGACUCUUCUCAAUAGAUUUUAGUUCACCUAUCAUAGCUUCCUUUAAUGCCUUAUCACAUAGUGCAGCUAUGUAAUCUAAUGGCUCGAUGUCUGCUAGCAUUGCAAAAUGCACCAAUUAACCAUCACUAGUUCAUCAUCACCAGUUACCUGACAGUCUUCUGAACUUCUUGGAAUUUGUCUGUUUCUUUGUGGUCUGGCUAUAGUGGUUGACUCUUCAUCUAUGAUUUCUUCAUCAUUAGCAACUUCAUUUAUGGUGAGCUCAUCAGAUUCUCUAUUAUCUUCAAUGAUAACCUCCUUCUCAGAGACACUGCACUUAUUUGCAGUACAAUCCCAAUAUUCAUCUAUUUAAGAUGAAUAUUGGGAUUACACUAAAGUUUUCAGGGAUAUGCUUAUAGCAUAUUGAGCCAAAUACCUUCAAAUGACUGACAUAUGGUUUUCUACCUGACCAAACCUCUUCAGGCACUUGAUUCUUCAAUUUCUUAGUGGGACAUCUAUUUAAGAUGUAAGCUGCAAUAUUCCCUACUUUACCCCAAAAUUCAUGAGGUAGCUUCUUCUCUAUCAGCAUAAUCCUAGCCAUAUCAAGUAAACUCUUAUUCCUCCUUUCAGCAAUACCAUUGCGUUGAGGAGUGUAAGGAGUUGUCACUUCAUGAACUAUACCCUGACUUGUGCAGUAAGAUUCAAAAUAUCUAGAAGUAUAUUCACCACCUCCAUCUGUUCUGAGAAUAUUCACCACCUUCAAAUCUUACAAAGAAUAUGAGAUGGUAGAAUUAUGAGAAUUUUCUCCAUGAUUGCUUUAUCAGAAAGAGUCUCACAACAUAGCUUCAUCUGAUUUGUGAUUGUUUGAAUUGAUUAGAAAUAUUCCUCUAUGUUCUUUUCUUUCUUCAUCUUCAGCAAUUCAUAUUGUCUUCUCAAUGAUUGCAAUCUUAUCUUCUUCACCUUAUCAUCCCCACUGAAGUAUUUCACAAGUGUAUCCCAAGCUUCCUUAAAGCUUUUUGCAUAUGCAAUCUUUUCAAAUACCUUGUUAUCCACGCAUUGAUGAAUAUAAAAGAGAGUCUUGAAAUCUUUCUUGUUCUUGGCUUCUUUAUGCGCAUUCCUUUGAAUUUAUGUGGGAUUUGCAGGAAGUGCUUCAACUUCAUUGUUGACAAUCUCAAGAACAUCUUGAAACCCAAAGAUCACCUUCAUCUGUUUCACCCAUCUUUGCCAAUUCUUCCCAUCAAGAACUGGUAAAUGUGCAGAGAUGUUUCCAUUGGAAUUCAUGGUUAACUCUCUUCUUCUUGGAUCAAAAAAUGAUUAUGCUCUGGAUACCAAUUUGUUGGUGAACAAAUUGAUCUAGGGUUUAUGUGUUUUGUGUGAUUGAAGGAUAAGAAACAGUUUUAGAGAAUGAAAAAGAGAGAAAGAGAUUGGAGAAUUAAAACUGAAUGCAUUGGCUUUAUUAAAUGAGGAACCAAGUAUAUAUACAACAUGUUCUAGCUAUAGCUUGCAUUACAAGUAAAUGCUAAUUGUCUAACUAACUUUCUAAAAACAAGGUAAAGUAGUUACUUAGGUAGCAAGGUAACUAACCCUAAAUCAAACUAUGAGUUUUGAAUUACAAAUUCAACACUCACAAGGGCAUGGUGGCGGAAACUCUAACCCUAGGAGAGCAAGAAAUUUCUUGAGAGGUUUUGAUUUUGUCUAAAAAAAUUUAUAUAAUCUCUUGGAUGUUGAACUCUAGGACGUUACAUAUCUUAUUUACCGAAACCAUUUGAUUAUGAUAUGUGCCAAAAAUAUUUAUAACCAAAUGCAAUAAAGUAAAUACAAAAUAUACAAUAAAUUACACUAGAAAAUAUUCAAUAAAUUACACUACAAGUUAAUAAUAAUGUUAAUUUGCAGACACUAAUAUACGUUUUGUUCCGUUCUGCUUAAUUUGCUCUAUCCAAGAAAAUAAUGAAGUUGAGAUAUAUUCAUAUGAGUGUCUGAUGUGUUGGUCUAUGGUUAUUUAGAUUUUAGACUAUUUUGCAAAGCAUAAGAAAUAAAUAAAAACAAACUAAAAGUCUGAUAUUAUAAAAAUCUGGUUUUUAAAAAAGGCUAAAAGUAUAUUAUUUUAUAAUUUUAUGUUUUAAAGUGUUGGUUGUAAAUACCAAAGUAAGAAAAAACUCAUAAACAUCACAUACAAACCCGCAUAUUUAAACCGCAUAACCUACGAUUAAGCAAUCCACCUUAUGUGAACCAAAACGAAAAUGGUGUGAAACAUAUUGGUCUUUAUCCACCUUGGGCCGCGAGUUAAACUAGUUGGUUUGCAGCCCCGGGCCAUAUUCACAACUCCUAUUUUUGUAUAGUUUUUAUUUGAAACAUUAGAAAAUUAAGCGUCAAACCAACAUAAUAUUGAGAGAGUUGGUAACAUGACUCUUCCUCAUAAAAAAAAAAAAAAUUGAAUUUCAUUCUUAAAAUCGUCUAUUUGAAAUUGAGCGAACUUAACCCGUUCAAAGAUCAUAUGUCUUCCUAUCAAGCUAGGAAGGUACCUUGAAAUGUUGUUAAUUAUAAUUAUGAUUAAGAUAUGCUAGAAGAAAAAAUUGAGGGCCAAGGGCAAACUGGCUCAUUUAAUAGAUAAAUAGACUUUAAAGCAAUUGGUAUACAAAUCCAAGUCACACCUCAGCAAGGAAGUUAAAGUCAGCCUUUAAUUGUUAGCAUUCACAUAUAUAGUAAAGACUUUUGGUUUAAAUUAGGCAAUUGUACCACAUCAAGAACAUUUAGAAGAUGCCAAAAAAUAAGACUAAAUAAUACAAAGGCUUUGAUGAUUCGAACUAUUUUGACUCUUUGUGUAGAUUUUAGGUAUGUUUGGUGGGUAACGUACAACAUUCAAUCAUUCCCAUCAAAUAAUUAAAUGAAUCUCACACUUAAUAUAAAUUUAAGAAUCAUAUCUUGUUCAUGAUCAUAUACAAUCUAUAGUGGUGUAUGCCUAUAAUAGUGUCAUGGUAGGUAUCAUAUUAGCUUUGUCGCUACUGAAGUAAAAUAAUUGUUUGACCUAAAAUAUUACCACUGUCGCUCUGUAAAAAAUAUAAUAUAGAAACAAUAUUCUUGUGAGGUGAGGAUUACCCCCACUUAUAAAUACAUUGUCAGGUCAUGUUCUAUCUGAUAUGGGACGCUUAACAUCUUAGAAAUCGUGGUUUGGGCCUAACACAACAUCACAAAACGGACUUGUGAGGUGAUGAUUGCCCCCACUUAUAAACAUAUUGUCAGACCAUAUCUUAUCCGAUGUGGGACUCUUACGUACACAAAAUUAGCAUAUUACAUAGGCUACAUAAUUUUUUAAUACAUGUAAAAUUAGCAUAUUGCAUACAUCUAGAACUAUGUUUACAUUUCAACAACGUUUAUUUAUUUUCUUACUGCAAGUGACGGAAACAGAAAAAAAAAAAAAAAAAAAAAGUUUAAGUAUAGGAUGCUCUAUUGCGGAUGGUCUUAGUCUUCCCAAGAAUCAUCAUAUUUUUUAUAAUAUCUCCACCAAGUAUGUCUUUAUAUACUUGUGUUAGUACAAUCAAUCAAUGUCGUAAUUUUUUUUUUUCUAACAGUCGACAUUGUCUAUCCAUUUAAAUAUUUUUUUUCAAUACCAAAAAAAAAAAUGAUCUUUCCUAAAAAAGACCUUAAAUUUUUUUUAGAGAAAAUAGCUUAUAGCUUUUCAUUAUUAAUCAAUGUCAAAAUACUAAGAGGUACAUCAUUAAAAACUUGGGAACUAGGUAAGAAUAAAGCCUCUCUAGCAAGAGUAUGAGCGACCUCAUUCGCUUGUCUCCAACUAAACUCCAUCUUAAAGUUUUCAGAAACAUUGUUGUUGCCUUUGGUAAAAUAAUCUACAACUAACUUCGCAUCCAUCUCAAAAUCUACAUUUGUAAGUUGUAGUUCGUGUACCCAUUGAAUUGCAUAGAGUAGACCUAAUACUUCCCCAAUCUCUGGCUUACAUAUGGGAUUAGACCACAUCAUCUUUGCCUUCCUGAAAUUACCAGCAGCAUCCCGUAUACACAGCCCAACACUACUAAAAAAAACAAAAAUUAGUGAGGGAUAUUUAGUGAGGGAAAAUAUGAAAUCCCUCUCUAAUUCCCUCACUAAAUUUUACGACCAAGGAAUUUGUGAGGAAUUUCAUUUUUUCCGUCACUAAUUUCCCUCACUAAUUUUGCUUUUUCUAGCAGUGCAAAACCAACACGAUUUGAAUCUUCCGAAAACGCCGCGUCGAUGUUGCAUUUUAGCUUACCAGCUGCACUACACUUCUGCUUCCUCAUAUUUCCUCAUAGUCUGGCAUGUAAACAAUGUGUUGCUUAAUAUAACAAUUUUCUAUAUAUGGCUGCCAGAUUUGCUCCCCUGGUGAUUAGACAGUAAACAAUAAAAAACGUUACACGCAAUUUCAUGGUUGGUUCAAUAUUUUGUUGUCCAGCUAAGUUAUAACAUAGUUUCAAAAAAGACAAUUUGUUAUUCAAAUUUGAAAAUGAUGCAAUGAUAAAGACAUUUUAUCACCUUAUCAUUAAAAAAACACGUGUAAUAAUCACUUAAACACAUGGACAAAUAAAAUCACGUAAGCAAUCUUGAUAUUAAUUAACGAAGGUUGACUCAGUUUAUAAGAAAUUGAUUCAUCUGUACGCCAUAGAUUCAACAUUUAUUGUCAAUGUAAAUAUCUUUUUUGUAAAUGAUAUGUAAAUACUUCUAUAAACAUUAUUUAAAUCUUGAAAUAUGCCUUAACUAUAAUGAAUUUUUGGAGGGUAACCUAUCAAAAUUUAUUUAUAUAAUAAAUAAAAGGUAAAUAUUUUGGCUAGGAAAAACCAAUGGUAGGAAAAAAAAUUACAUGUUGUGAUGUCAUGGAAGUCGAUGUAUGAGUAAACCUAGCUACUUGCUGGAAAUGAAAUAUGUUAAAGAUCUUACACACUGAAAGGAUCAAAUAUAUGUUCCUUUCGCACGAAUAGUUCUCUCUCUUUCUUUUUUCUUAAAUCAUAGCCGUCACAACUUUUAUUCUUUUUGGUGUACAAAAAGAAUUGAUUUAGGAUCAAUUACGAUCCAUAAUCACCCCUUUAAAUUGUUAUUCUUUCUCUUUUAGCAAAGUAAGUGAUUUUCACAUAAUUUUCUUUCCUUUGUUUUUGUGAUUUUGUCGUAUAACACGAUUUUGUUUAUUUUGAUUUCUCGUAUUUAUGCAGUGUUUUUAAUUGUUAGCUUUCACAUAUAGCAAAAACUUUUGAUUUAAGUUAGGCAAUUGUACUACAUCAAGAACAUUUAGAAGAUGCCAAAAAAUAAGACUACACUAUGCAAAGGCUCUGAUUGGAACUAUCUUGACUCUUUGUCUGGAUUUUAGGCAUGUUUGGUGGGUAACCUACACCAUUCAAUCAUUCCCAUCACAUGAUUAUUAAAUGAAUCCCACUUACUAAAAUUGAGAAUCAUAUUAGCUUUGUCGAUACUGAAGUGAAAUAAUUGUUUGACCUCAAAAAAUAACAUCCGUGUAUAAAAGGAUAACAGAGAAACAUUCAUACACAAAAUUAGCAUAUUACUUUCACUAAAAAAAUUUUAGGCUUAAUACAUGCUUUCGUCCCUUAACUUAUUUUUGAAUUUCAUUUUGGUCCCUUAACUUUAAACCGUCUCAAUUUGUUCUCAUAACUUUGCCUCCGUUUACAGAAGGGACCACUUAGGUAAACGGAGGCAAAGUUAUGGGACCAAAUUGAGACGGUUUAAAGUUAAGGGACCAAAAUGAAAUUAAAAAAUAAGUUAAGGGACCAAAGCAUGUAUUAAGCCUUAAAUAAAUUAUACUAAGAGGAUAUUUGUCAAAGAUACAUAUUUUUAUUGAAGAAAAAAAUAAUAUUACAAAGCAUGAAAAAAGCCCAAUAAAUAAAAUGGUUGAACAGUGUUGGGAAAAAUAUUGCAAGAUAAAAUAAUAAAUAUAUUACAACAUCAACAAAACUCGUAAAAUAGUGUGAGAAUAUAGGAAAUUUUUCCAUGACAAUAUAGGAGGUGAACAAAAUAAAUUAUGUUAAAAUUAAAUUAGAAAGUAAUGAAAACUUUGGUAAAAUAAAAAGUAAUAAAAACAAGCAAAUCUCUAAAAAAAAGUAAUAAAAACAAACAAAUCCCUAAAAAAAACAUAUAAAAUAUUUGGACUAUAAAAUUAAAGUAGAUAUGAAUUAUUUGUUGAGAUGUUUAUGUCAAAUAGAAAAAUGAGUUUUCUAAAAAUAAAACAUAAAUGUUAAUUUCAUUGGAACACCAACAAAAUAAAAAUUCAUAGGGAGGUAGUUCUAUUGCAUCAAAUAGAUCUAUUAUGAGAUAAAAAUAAAUGAACAUCAUAAUAUUAUUUUUAGUAAAUGUAAAUUAAUGUAUCACUCAUUUUUUAUAGAUUAGAAAAAUGAUUUUGACAUUCUAUAAUUUAGAGAUUAUUUUUUAAAGACUUUAUUAAAAAGUAUAAUCAAUUUUGUGUUUAUUUUUCAGAAUAACAAUCACUUCUUUGAAAAAAAAUAUAUGUUAAUUUGAUACAAGGCUUAAUAAAUGCUUUGGUCCCUUAUUUUUGAAUUUCAUUUUGGUCCCUUAACUUUAAACCGUCUCAAUUUGGUCCCAUAACUUUACCUCAGUUUACCUAAGUGGUCCAUUCUGUUAGUUUUUUUAACAGAAGGGACCACUUAGGUAAACGGAGGUAAAAUUAUGGGACCAAAUUGAGACAGUUUAAAGUUAAAGGACCAAAAUGAAAUUCAAAAAUAAGUUAAGGGACUAAAGCAUGUAUUAAGCCAAAAAUUUAUUACGUGUUCUGGAUCGAUCAAAAGAUCAAUCCCAUGUUGACACGUGACCUAAAUUUGCACUGCCUUAAAGCUCCGCGCUUGAAGGAGCAUGCCAAUUUUAGUACACCGCGUCACGUUCAAGCACGCCUCGGCGUGAGGUCACCUUACACGUGUUCUCUAACUGUCUCCUGAUCACAUGCUGCAAAACUCGAAGACAUCUCCACGAGUGCGUGUAUAAGGGUGACUUAACUUCACCCUCAAAGUAUGAUUCACUUUUCACAACACUUUCUACAUACUCUUUCAAAGGAAUAAAAAAAACAUUUGUUACAACUAUUUUUAUUUAAAGAAUCAUAGGUGCGGGAUGAAAUAUUAAAAAGUUAUAAUCACUUAAUAAAAUAGAAAUCGAUCCUCACUGAACCGACGUGGACCACGAUUGAUGACCAUAUAUAGUUGAUGAAACCCAGAGAUGGGGGGUGGUUGUCUCCGCCACUGAUAUAGUAACAAAAUAAAGGUUUAAUUGCACUUUUGGCCCCCUAUGUUUCAAGAAGUUGCGAUUUUGACCCCCUAACUAAUUAAAAUACAAAACAUCAUUGAGCUCAGCCACCUCCCAUCUCUGGGCUUCAUCAACUAUACAUGGUCAUCAAUCUUGAUCCACGUCGGUUCAGCGAGGAUCGAUUUCUAUUUUAUUAAGUGAUUAUAACUUUUUAAUAUUUCAUCCCGCACCUAUGAUUCUUUAAAUAAAAAUAGUUGUAACAAAUGUUUUUUUUAUUCCUAAAUUCAAACCUCUGAACUAACGUACACUAAUCUUUUCCCUCAUGAACAAAUAGUACAAUAAUCCUCAAGAAGAAGCUUCUUAGUCUUCCUAAGGCGUGUUGUAGAAAUUAAAUUAACAAUAAUAUUUUCACUCAAAGCUCGUCAUGUUUUUUAUAAUAUCUCCAUCAAGUAUGUAUUUAUAUACUUAUGUCAGUACAAUCAAAUUCGGUCCUCGUGAGCAUAGCUCAGUUGAUAUGGACAAUGCAUAAUAUAUGUAAGGUUUGAAGUUUAAAUUCCGACAACCACAAAAAAAAGAGUACAAUCAAACUCGAAUCUGACAUCUCAUAAUUGUGAUUGCGUGUAUGUAAAUUUAAAAGGUGGUGAUAUUUGUGAGAUCUUUAUUUUUCUUUCUUUUUAUUGGUUUAAAACAAUAAAGAAAAAAAUGAAGAGAAAGAAUAAGAAUAUAAUGCGAAUAUAAAAGAAAAUUGUUGAAAAAUUGUUACAAAAUAAAUGUUAAAAUAUCAUUUCUUAAAUCUAAAACGUUGCUCGUCACUUUUUCUACAUGUCAAAGUUGAAUCUUGUGAAGAAGUGAUUGUCCCAAAAAUAAUAUUUUAUUAGCAACAGUACUAGCAUCAAAUAUUUGUCAACAAAAAUAAAGUACUAGCAUCAAAUAAACUAACGUGCUACAUAUGAACAUAACCUCAAAUAUUGACUAGCUCCAUGCAUAUACUUUUCCCACGUUAAAAAAAAAGCCUAAUCAAAUUUCUAAUAACAAUUCUAAAAUUACUAUACACUCUUUCCAUAGACAUCAUUAUUGAUGAUUGUGGACAUGACCCCACAAUAUUAAUUUUGGUACAUGCAUAUAGCUCGAGAUACAUUUUUAAGAGAAAUAUAAUUUGUAUGAUAAUUUCACGACAAUUUUUAUGAUAAUUUUUUUUUUCUCACACUCAUGUUGUAUUUUUGUUCUCUCAUUUCAUAUUUCUUUGUCUAUUGCUUUUUUCCUAAAAAAAGAAAAAAAAUGAUUCUCCCAAAAAUACUUGUACAAAUAUCCACUCUUAGAAAAAGUAAAAUUAGGAAGAGAAAUUAGUGACGGAAAACAUUAAAUUUCUCACAAAUUCUUAAAUCGUAAAAUUUAGUGACGGAAUUAGUGAGGGAUUUCACGUUUUCCCUCUUAAAAUUUUCCUCACCGUUUUUUACUUUUAGUAGUGAUCAUUGAUAAAUUUUUAAUUCAUCUAUUGAGGAGGAACUAAAUAACCAUUUGUGUAAAUCUUUUCUUUUUUUAUAUCUAACAGGGUGAUUUAUAAGAAGAAGAGUCUGAACAUUUCGAUGAAGAAAAUCUAUAGAAAAGAAUUAAUUUAGUUAAAAGUGAGCCAACUUGGUUUUACUCCAAAAAAAUAUUCUUUAAAAUUUUUGCUCAUUCAAAAUCUAAAAUUGUUGUUUUCAAACGUAUAAUUUAGCAACUGAUUAUUAAGCAUUAGGAAAAAGCCCAUGCGACAGUAAAAAAUUGGACGCUAACAUGUCAAUUAGCGUCAACCUAGUGUGAGGCUCGUGGUUGACAAUAAAAUGCUUGAAGCUAACCAUUUGUGUCUGCAAUCCUGAAGCAAUUUGUAAGUAAUAUCGUAGACCAAUUUAAAUUUUUUAAGCUAAGCAUUAGCGUCUGCAAUAUCGAGGCUACAUCGCGUGCGCUUAGUGUAGGUCAAUUUAAAUUUUUAAAAUUCUGUAAAAGCAUUGACUAAAGGGGUUGGCCAACAAAAUAAAACAUAUUAGAAAUAAUUAACAAUCCAUUAAAGAUAGAAAAAAAAGUAAAAUAUAUAUACAAAGCAAAGCACAUAUUUGAGACAAGCAUCAAAUGUAAUAAAAAAAAUGCUACUAUGUUAUUUAUCCCAAAAAUAAAAUUAAAACAUCUUACAAUCAUGUGCAACAAACUUCUUUCUAUUGCAAUGGAGUCAACAUGUGUUAAACCAAAUAAACCAAAUAUUUAGAUGAUCUCCUAAAUAUUUUCUCUACAUCUAAGAAAAGAAUGUUCCAAAAUCUUGGCUAUAUUAAAGUUGAUAGGGUGGAAAUAUAAAUCUUGUUCAUUUUCGUUUUGGUUUUAAGCACAUCCUCUUUGUUUGAUUUCAACCUACUCAAACAAGCACAAUAAGCUUCAACAUUGUCAAUAAAGAAAGCACACACAAUUACAAAAUAUGUCAUAUAUUAGUCUACAAGAUAUGAUGAUUUUUUUUCGAUGUUGACCAAGCUAAUUACAUUUUAAUAAAAAUAAUUCUAUCAAUGAAAUUAUUAUGACAUCUCUCUUUAUCAACCUAAAAAAGUUUUUCAAAGCAAAGCAGAGGGAGUUCUUCCUACUCAUGUCGAUUAAUCAAGUCAAAAAGCUAAAAAAAAAAAAAAAAAACCAUUACUACAAUAAAGGAGAUUUCACCUCGGUUGAAAUGAAGUUUUCACAUUGCACCGUUCAUGAGGUAAGGUGGUGUGGUAUGUCUAACACUAUUUACAUCGGGCACAUCAGGUUGGUACCCAAUGUGAUAAGUACUUUUCACAUCGUUUUAUCACCGGAUGUGAAAUCCCUUUUAUAAAUUAGAACAUGUGAUUUACAUUUCACAUUAACUUUCACCUCAAGUGAUGUGAAAUCCAUUUUUCUAAAUGGUACAUUUUUAACCAACUUAAAAUGUCUAAUUUUUUAUAACAAAUAUAUAUUUUUAACCGACUUAAAAUAUAAAUUCAUGUGCUCUAUGAAACUGACACUCACUAAAUUGAAUUAAACAACUCCAACAUUGAUACGACAAUCAUCACUAGCAUUUAACUCCACAACCUCAAAUUUAUAGAUCAGAGGGCCUAUAAUACAUGGUAGUUACAAAUUAUCAACAAUUGGACGAGAUUAAAUAUAUACAAUAUUGUUUAAAAUAUAUGAAUUCAAAGUCAUAGUAGCAUAAAAAAUAAGAAGGGGUUAAAUUGGAAGGGUAUUGACUACAAAUUAACAAAUCAGAAAAUCAAUUUGAAAAGAGUAAGAAUACUAAUUUACUUAACACAAAAAAAUAGAUCCAAAGCAUAUUAUGAUGACUAUUGACUAUAAUCCCCAUUACAUAAGAAAUACCCAACAAAUAUCAAAAAGAGAGAUCUAACUUUCUAUCUCCAUUUUGAUUAUAAUGAGUUCACAAACAAAAUUCCCUAAGAAACAAUAGAGACCAUCAGAAAUCAUAAGCAAAAUGUUCUAAAAGAUAACAAACUCUAAAAGCUAAAGAAUAAAAACAUAAAAUUGCAACUAAUAGAGAAAAGAAACGAUUUAAUUCAUAAGAGAAGAGAACAAAGGAGUUGAAAAUAUAAAAUAAAGAUAUUGAUUCAAGAACAAAGACGAUUUUACCUCUGAACAACUUGAACAAAGCAACAAACAACGAAGGGCAAGAACAUAGACAAUUUUGGGUAUGAAAGGUUUGUAUCUGAGUGAAGCAGCGAAUGGUUUGCCUCUGAACGGUGAAACAACGAAGCUCUAAACAUGGAGGACGACUUGGCUCAUAAUGAGUCUAAUUUUUUUAUUUUUUCUGGAUCUGAGUUUUUUUUUCCCAGAACUUUAUGGCUUUGAAGGUUUUUUAAUGAAAGUGUGAAAAGAAAAUAUUGGGAAAAAAAAGGUGAGGGAAAUCUUAAAAUAAAAGUAGGAAAGAAAAGGGAAAUUGAAAAAUAAUGGAUAAUUUUUUUUUUAGCUUCACAGAUAAUCGAUGCUAUUUAAAAAUAAAAUAAAUAGUUUUAGAAUAUAUUGACGCUAAUUAAAUAAUUAAAUUAAAAUAUAAUGAAUUGAAGAAAGCGUUAGAAUUUGUGGAUGCUAAUUAGACGCUGUUAGCAUCAGAAAUUGUCUCACGCUAAAAUUUAUGAAGCUAGAUUGCAAUUUUUUUGUAAUAUGUGAAAGGGUACCAUAGAAGUUCCCUUUUUAUUAUCUUUGGUGGAAACUCCCAACAAAUUUGAAAUAAUGUUACCCGAGAGGGAUACAUAGAACCUGUAAAAAUUUGCUUUUGGACGCAUUCACCACAUGUCCCGAAGCCUCGGAAUAAGAGUCAAAUAUUCUCAUAAGGCAGCAUACAUUCUUAUUUGGUACGUUUACAAAAAAAAUUAGAAUAUCGUCUGUGCAUAUGUUGGCCAGCUUGCCGAGCAAGAGUAAUCGAACGACUAAGAACCUCUUUUGCCAAACAAAAAUAAAAGAGGGGAUAGAAGGUCCCCCUGACGAACACCCCGCCCGCACACAAGAGAAGAAGCCCAUCGCUUUACCAUUCACCAGAAUAAAAAGACGCGCAGAGUGCAAAAUAUAGAAGAAAACCUGCAGGAGAAAGCCAGGCUAAAACCAAACUGAUGGAGCACAGCUAGCAAGAAAUUCCAAUCUAAAGUAUCAAAUGCCUUUCUGAUAUCAAGCUUGAGCGCUAAAUUACCCCCAUAUUGAUUACGAUUCAGAAGGUUAAUAGCCUCAGAAGCUAUAGUAAUACAUUCUGAAAUGUAUCGAUCACGAAUAAAGCCACGCUACUCCAAUCAGAUUAGGUAGAAGCUCUCCAAGUCUCCCCUAUUAUAUAAAUCCUUAACCUACUUAUUUUCUCUUAUUUCCAAAUCUGCCCUCCAAGUCUCAAUAUUCUAUUCUAAUAUAUUUCUAUAACAUAUAAGAAAUAUAUCUCUAUAACAAAUAUAUUUCUAUAACACAUAUAUUUCUACACCAAAUAAGAAAUAUAUUUCUACACCAGAUAACAUAUAUAUUUCUACACCAAAUAACAAAUAUUUUACACCAGAUAACAUAUAUAUUUUUACACCAAAUAACAUAUAUAUUUCUACACACCAGAUAACAUAUAUAUUUCUAUACCAAAUAACAUAUAUAUUAUACUAAUAAAUACCAACAUAUAACAUAACAAAAUAUCACUCAUCAAAAUAAAUCGACUAAAUUAUAAAAAGACAUCUAAACUCAAUAAAAUAAAUAAAUAAUAAAAUAGGACGUUACAGGAUCUGGGUUUUAUUUUUUUCUUUUCAGAACUUUAUGCUUUUGAAGGGUUUUUAAUGAAAGUGUGAAAAGAAAAUAUUGGAAAAAAAAAAAGGUGAGGGAAAUCUUAAAAUAAAAGUGGGAAAGAAAAGGGAAAUUGAAAAAUAAUGGAUAAUUUUUUUUUUAGCUUCACAGAUAAUCGAUGCUAUUUAAAAAUAAAAUAAAUAGUUUUAGAAUAUAUUGACGCUAAUUAAAUAAUUAAAUUAAAAUAUAAUGAAUUGAAGAAAGCGUUAGAAUUUGUGGAUGCUAAUUAGACGCUGUUAGCAUCAGAAAUUGUCUCACGCUAAAAUUUCUGAAGCUAGAUUGCAAUUUUCUUGUAGUGAUAUGUGAAAGGGUAAUGGUAUUUUUAUUACCUUUGGUGUAAGCUAGAUAUCCUCCGCAUGCAAUUGGAAAAACUAAUUCCUCAAACCUUCUGAGAAUCAAAUGAACGGAAAACUCUCCAUUAAAGACAAUGAUAUUUGAACAAUCAUAUACCUUCAAUACAUUGAUAUGAUAUUGAGUAGCCCAUUUUAGCAAGUAAGUUGUAAUAUAAUUAUAAUAAUAGUAAUAGCAGAAGACAAAAAUAAUGAUUUUAAUUGUGAUAAAUUAGUUGCAUUAUGUGUUAGAAAUGAUAAAAUUGAUAAAAUACUAAUUCUUGAUAAUUUAUCAAUAUAAAAUUCUAAAUUUUUAUUUUAUCGUGCAAAACAAUAGACUAUUAAAAGGUUAGAUUAACUCUAAUAUUUAGAUUUCUUAAUUUAUUUAUUAGUGGAUAAAACAGAAAAAUGUUCUGAAAAUUAUUGAGGCAGCUGUGUGAGAAAACAUAUGAUACAUGUAUAAUUUUUCAAAGUUUGUUAAGGAGAAAGGACAGAUUAAUUUGAUCAAAUACCCAAUAAUUAAUUCAUCAAUGACUACGCGUAUAUUGAAUUUUACUUACUUUGAAAUAGCUUACAAAACAAAAAUAACAAAAUAAUUUUUUUGAAAGAGAUAUAAUAAAAUAAUUAUUGGUCCAUACUUACUAUAAAGAAAAUAAGAGCAGUGUCAACAUUUUCCAGCUAAUAUGCUCACUUACUUUAUUCCUUUCUUUACAUUUCUUUCAUGAAUAGCCAACUUGAUUCGAAUUGGUCCAAAAAACAUGCUCACUUAUUCAAAGGCAGGCCAUUAUUUUUUAAUGAAAUUAUAUGCUUGUAUUUUGAUAUAAACUUUUUUUAUAAACAUUCUGCUAAAGAAAACUAGGUAAAUUGUAAUAAGGACACCAACCAAGAUGAAUAGUUAAGGUAAAAUGUGUAAAGAAAAAACUAUAUAAAGGGUGAUGCUAUCUUUCAUAAUAGCAACAACAAAACACACUUUGGGAAAAUAUGGGGUCUCAAAUGGCCUCUAUUACUCUCACUAUUGCAUUGGCAAUAAUCUCUCUUAGCUUCCCAUCUCAAAUUUCAGCAAACAAUUACAUCUAUUCAUCUCCACCACCACCAAAGCCUUACUACUACCACUCUCCACCACCACCAGUGCACUCCCCACCUCCUCCUUACCAUUACAGUUCACCACCACCGCCACCAAAGAAGGAAUACAAAUACCCUUCUCCUCCACCACCAGUAUACAAGUACAAAUCACCUCCUCCACCGGUAUAUAAGUAUCAAUCUCCCCCACCACCAGUUUACAAGUACAAGUCACCUCCUCCCCCAGUUUACAAGUACAAAUCUCCACCCCCACCACCCAAGAAACCAUACAAGUAUUCAUCACCACCACCACCAGUUUACAAGUAUAAGUCUCCUCCUCCACCUGUUUACUCACCACCUCCACCAGUUUACAAGUAUAAAUCUCCUCCUCCACCAGUUUACUCACCACCUCCACCAUACAAGUAUUCAUCUCCACCACCUCCUCCGUACAAGUACUCAUCAC
RNAcentral lists this long non-coding RNA (47727 nucleotides) under Medicago truncatula (barrel medic). Its description in RNAcentral is "long non-coding RNA (MTRU_LNC004005)". Lineage: Eukaryota; Viridiplantae; Streptophyta; Magnoliopsida; Fabales; Fabaceae. The record is from RNAcentral.